This 46260-nucleotide long non-coding RNA is filed under the name Vitis vinifera (wine grape). Lineage: Eukaryota; Viridiplantae; Streptophyta; Magnoliopsida; Vitales; Vitaceae. The record is from RNAcentral.
UUUUUUUAUUUAUUUAUUUUUUUUUUUUUUGAAAAAGAACAAUUUCCAAUGUUUUAAAAACCGGACCGGACCGGCCGGUCCAACCGGUUCAACCGUCGACCGGUCGCAUUUCCGGUCCGGUCCACCCUAUUAAACCGUUUAACCAUUGGACCGGUUACGAACCGCCUGAACCAGCGGUCGAACCGGUGAACCGGUAGAACCGGACGGUUCUAAACGAACCGAACAGUCCAUAUUGGCCCACCAUUUUACAAGCCCAAUGUAUACAAAUUAAAAGCUGCAGGCCAAAAACCAAGCCCAAUGUACAAAAAUUAAAAGCUGCAGGCCAAACACCAUACUGGGCCAUGUCUUAGCUUGACAAAGCCCACACCCAAACCCUUUAAGGAGGCUCGGUCUUGAGCCCACAAGGUGAGCGUGCUGUAGCUUUCACUGAGGAGGAUGCCUUUUAUAGGCAUCCUUUGCACCUUUAUUUUUCUCACAAACCGAUGUGGGAUUGCAUAUGAUAAUAUCAAUGAAAAAGCCAAAAAGGUUUAACAAAUGCAACAAGAGGAUUUGAAGCUGGGACCUUGGGUUUUGUAAGUAAGCUAAGACACCACUCGGCUACCAGCGUUUUGUUAUUUGAUAUGCCAAACAAAACAAUAAAUAUUGGAUUUUAAUUUUUUUUAUAAUAUUAAAUAAAAAUAAUAUAAUAUUUUUAAAAAUUAUAAAAUUAGUUAAAUUUUUCAUUUUUAAUAUAUUCACAUUUAAAUAUUAUAUACAUUUCAUUUAAUUUGAUAAUAUCAAAUAUAUAAAAUAAUAUUAUUGAUUUUUAAUUUAUUCAUAUAUAUUUUAAAAUUUUUAUAAUUAAUUUUAAUUUUAAUAAUAUAUAAAUUACAUAUUUAUGACAUCACCGGUUCGACCGCGGUUCGACCACCGGUUCGACCGGUGAACCGUGAACCGGUAACUUUUCCGGUUCAAUGACCGGUCCGGUUCUGAAAACAUUGACAAUUUCACAUAUUAUUUUUCACCCAAAAAAGGUAAAAGGACUUACAAUCAAAACGACACCGUUUUUGAUUGACUUCAGUGACACAUCUAGGGUUUGCUCGGUGAAACUUCAUACCUAUAAAUGUCUGCGGUGUGAAUUGUGUCAAAACCCCUAAACCCUAACCCUAAUUUGAGAUCAGUCAAUCAUGGACAAGAGCAUGCUAGGAGAUCUGGACUCUCUUCCUGAGGAAGAUAAGCUUCGAAUGUCUGUCAUGAUCGACCAGCUUCAGAUCCGCGACAGGUUCGUCCUUUCCUUUUAUAUGUGUUUUGGCAAUACUCGAGAGUCGUGUUAGAAAUUGUGGAUUUUGCGAUGCCAAGAAGUCUAUUCUGGCCAUUUCUCCUGAAGCAAAUAUGAGAGUUUUAUCUGAAAUUUUGAAUUAUUUUGGUUUAUUUCGGGGUAUUUUGUAUGUAGAUAUUGAAUCUAUUGUGCAAUUUCGAGUGUUGAUAUGUGAAUCCAAUGGGCAAUAUCGAGAAUGUCUACGAGAUAAAUUGUUUCAGAUGAACCCUUGUUUGAAUUUUCUUUUCCUUAAUUGAAGAUAGAAAUCAUAUUUUUCGAUAGUUCUACACUGUACUGUGAUAUAUAGGUUAGGGCUCCCUUGUAGCCUACACGUUUCUAUUUCAUGCGGCGUUGCUGAUUGAAUAAUGGAUCCAUUGUCCAUCAGCUCGGCAUUACUUAGCUUCAUAGAGAAGAGAUUCUGAUGGUUCCAUAGUCCUUACACUGGUACAUUGUGUAAGAUUGAUUGCAAUACAUACGUGUUACUGGCCUGAGGCAUUUGUUUUUCUGAGGCUAUGUUUAGUUUUUGGAAAAUUUGAGUAGGGAAAGAAAUAGAAAGGAAAAGUAGAAGGAAAGAAAAAGUCAAGGAAAAUAGAUAAUAGAUUUAAAGUUGAUAAAUUAUUUUUAUAUAUUAUUUCAAACUUAUUUCACUUUUUUUUUAAUUCUUUAAUACAAAGAUGAAAUAAUUUGAAAAUGUUUAAAUUUCUAAUUAAUUUCUAUUAUAUUUGAUUUUCUUUGAUAUUUUUCAUGGUAUAACCAAACAUAAGAAAAUAAUUUUUCUUAGCACUUUUUUCACUUUCUUGGUACUUUUUGGGAGCCAAAGACAACCUUAGUGCUUGUUGCUUAGUCUUUAUGUUACCACUUCACAUAAUGGCUUUAUGCCAUGUUGGUUGCAAGGUUAACCUUUUUUGUGACAUUGAUAAUGUGAAGCCAGAAUAAUGUUCUCCUUAAAACCAGUGCAACAUGUGUUGCAAUUGGACGUUUUGGGAACAACACUCCUGUUGAAAACUAUUUUGAAGACAAAAUAGAAGGAAAAAAACCAGUAGCAGUGACUAUGAUGGACUCUAAAAUGUUUAUUUCAAGUGGUACAACACCUACUCUUCAAAGUGGUUUAUCAUUGUUUUGCAUACUGUCUUUUUUGUUGGUUCUUGUUUUGUGGUUUCUAUGUUGGCUAUUUUUGGUUGCAAGAACUUUUAUAAUGUAAGCUGCAUGAGUUAUAAACUGUGAAUCCUGAAGAAUCUUCUUAAAGCCAUUGUAAAAUGGUAAAAAGAUGCAAGGAUGAUCUCCUUUUUUAAAUUAAAAAGCCCAUAAAUAAUGGGUGUAAAACAUGGCAUGAAAUUUGUUGCUUGGUCCUUGUCAUGUGGCUUCACAUCAUGGCUUUAUGCCAUAUUUGGUUGCAAGAACUUUUACUUUUUGUGACAUCAGUGAUGUGAAGCCAGAAAAAUGUUCUCCUUAAAACCAGUGCAACAUAUGUGUUGCAUUUGGACGUUUUGGGAACAAAACUUGUGUUUAAUAUGUAAGAAAAAAAAUAUAUAGCAGUGUCUAAGCAAGAACUUUUACUUUCUGUGACAUUGGUAAUGUGAAGCCAGAAGAAUGUUCUCCUUAAAACCAGUGCAAUAUAUGUGUUGUUGCAUUUGGACGUAUUGGGAACAAAACUUGUGUUAAAUAUGUAAGAAAAAAAAUAGCAGUGUCUAUGAUGGAUUUCUGAAAUGUUUUCUUUGAAGAGGUAGCAACAUUUUUUUUGAUAGGGUAGUAACAUGUACACUUCAAUGUAGCUUCAACUUUGUUUUGCAUUCUGUCUUGUUUAUGAAUCCAGGAGUAUUUUCUUAAAACCAUUGUAAAAUGAAAAUGAGACUUUUUUGUGGUGGGGUUGUGACAGGGACUAAACAUGAUCUAGGGAGUGCAUAGCCAGCUUGUAUGGUGCUUUGUUGUAAAGAAAUACCUCCCAAGUGGUCAAGUCAUUUGCACAAAGCAUUCCCUACCAUUGCAAUUGUUGCUCUGGUUGUUUCUGAUGCUAAUCUUUGCAUGGUUAUGUGUUUUUUGGAUUCUUCCCUGUUCAGUUAGUCUUUUUACAUGGAUGCCAGUGUGGUUUCUUAGAACAGAGGCACGAGGAAGUUCAGAAAAUGACUUGUCUUUGUUUAUGCCAGAGAAUUUGGAAAGAAAGAAAACAGUAGAAUCUUUGAGGGGGUAGAAUAAUCCUUGUUAGUGACCUAAACAUGUCUUAAAAUCUUGCUGUUUUUUAAUCUUCUAUUUUAUUUUUGCUUGAAAAAAUCUUGCUGUUUCCCUGUGGAAGCCAAUUUAUUCUUGUCACAUUUUGUCGAUGUCGUGGUCUCAAGUUAGCCCAGCUGCAAUUUUCUUUCCCUCUUUCUUUUUGGGCUUUUUUGCGGAUCUUGUCCAAUACCUGUGUCAGGGAAUGCAUCCCUUGUUUUUGCUAGGUGCCUCGUUAAUAAAUUCAAUUUUGCCUAUAAAUGAAUAUAAAAAAUUGUUGCUUUGGCUCUGAUAAUCAAAAUUGUUUCUGAAUCGUACUGUAUUUUCAGGAUAAAUCUUCUAAUAUGUUGUUUUCCUCGUUCAACUUGCAGUCUUAGAAUGUAUAAUUCACUGGUGGAGAGAUGUUUUAGUGACUGUGUGGAGAGCUUCAGGCGCAAAUCCCUUGACAAGCAAGAAGAGACCUGCGUCCGGCGAUGUGCUGAGAAGUUCUUGAAGCAUUCGAUGCGUGUGGGUAUGAGAUUUGCAGAGCUCAACCAAGGGACAGCAACACCAGAUUAAAAGCCCUUAAGCAACCAUGGGUGCAAAACAUGUUCAAACUUGCCCCAGGAGGAUUUAGUGGUUGUUACAAAAAUGGAAAUGUUUCUGUUCUUAGUUUACAUACGUUUCUUCCCCCAGUGCAGUACAAUGGGUGCAACUACAGGAAUUUCCUCGUUAGGAAUAAGCCUCAAGCAAAUUAUACCCCUGUAGCUUUCCAGAAGAUUGAUGAAUGACUUUCAGUAACUGAAUUUUGAUUCAUGCAGAUUUUGGAUAUUUGAGCAUUUUAACCUUGCACCUUAUUAUAAGGUGGAGCCACAAUGCUAAGAUAUUUUUGAGUGGCCAUUCUAUCACUAACCCUGAUUGUAUAAUGCAAAUCUGAAUACCAUGUUUACUGAAAGAAAGCAGAUAAAUAGGUAGAUCUUUACUGCCGGAACGUACACCAGUUAGUGUUUUUGGAACUCAAGCACACUGGAACCACACCCUCCUUUCCAUGGAAAUCAAUUCAAAGAAAUAACCUUUAACCAACCAUCCUUUUUCUAUGCUCCACUUCAGCUUCACAAGAAAUCUUUUGCCACAGCAGGAAUUCUUGGAAUGUUCCAACCAGUGGAGCUUUUCAACAUAUCAGUAAAAGGUAGAUGCAUAAACAUUGUUUAACAGAACUAAAAUGCCACCAUAAAUUUCAAAAUUCUGUGACAACCUGCAAAUAAGGCAUAAUGGAAAAUAGAUAAUUGACUCGGAUCUAUCCAUCCAUGUAGGGAAUACACUCUCAAUCAAACCAGUUCUUGAUAAUAGAAAAUGACAUCCAAGGAUAACAACCACAAUCAGAACAGGUGUGUGGAAUAACAGGCCACUUGAAGAUACAAUGACAGAAAAAUUAAACAAGUUUUUUGUUUUUCACUUCAGGGGCACAAGCACCUCAUCUCAGAAUCUACUGUCGAUAAAAGCUUAGCCUGACCACUUUUAAUUGCUGGUUGGAAUAAUUACUGCAGAAUCACCAUAACCAUAUGCCUCACAAUCAGCAACAGCAACUUUCUGCAAAAGAAACAUUGUUCAACCAUCAGACAUUAUUAACCAAUCAAUUUUUUUUAAUUUUUUUUCAAAGCCAAAAUGAAAAGGACACAUUUACAUGCAUCUUUCUUUAGAAUAAACUGUGCAAUAAAUCAUUCUGAGAUUUUACGGCAUAAAACAGUAAGUCUACUAUUUUGAACCACCAAAAGAUAUGUGCUACAUGGCUGUUGAUCAAUGUGCUACAUUGAAGGAAUGUGAAUAAGCCAUCAUUUUGGUUAACAAACAGGAUAAACCAGAAUUGUCCCAACCAAUGAAUGGAUGCCAUUCUUCCACUCGUGAAAAGCCCUGUUGGUUCAAAUUCCCUUUUUUCCCACCCUUCAGACUCUUCAUGGGGAAACAAACAUCAGGAUGCUGACUGCACAAUCAGCACCUGUUGGUUCAAAUUCUUAAGAAUACUUAUGAGGAGUAGGUGCUGGAAUAUGUUUCUCUGCCAACAGCUUUUGCCCUCUCCUGCGUUGUUCUUAAAAAAAUCAUACUCAGUGGUGGACUGUUGGGACUCAAAAAAUAAAUAUAUAACAGAGUAAACAAAAUAAAAUAAAAACAAAAACAAAAAAUAUGGCCAUUCUUUCAGGUAGGUAGCACUUAAUGGCAAACCCAACAGGGUAUAGAAGGAUGGAAAAUUGAGCAGUCCAACAAUUGUUGUAAAGAGGUAACUCAGGGAUAUCUCUUCAAGACAUCAUGACCAGAGCAUGACAGCAUACAAGUGCCAAGGCAGUCUAGGUUAAGAUAGACUACAAUUGGUGAAUUAGUAUCAGAGAAUUUGAAAUACGAACUAGAAAGAAAUGUCCAACAGUCAAGAAAUAAGAACACACAGCAACAGUUACUUGCAACUGAGUGCGAUCAAAUGAACGGGAAAGUGCAUAGUUCUGUCAGAGGACAUGAAGAACCCUUUUUUUUUUUUUCAUCUCCUACAUUUUUAAAGCAUAAAACCCAUGCCCAGACCAUAUUCCUGAAAAGACUUUGCCGCAUACAACAAGAAUGAUUCAAGAAAAAUCAUAUGAUGCAUUACCAGUCACAAUCAGGGCAUUAAUCAUCAAGUUUGUGAUGCCGUUUCCUAUUCCUCUUUUCAGACCGCUUUGUGCCCCUGCCAACCCGCGAAUCAUCCGAGCCACUGAUAUCAGAAUCAGACAAUGAUGCAGCCCUUCUGCUCUUCCGCUUAUGCCUAUCAGAAUCCCCUGAUGAAUCCGAAUCAUCAGAAUAGCGAUGACUUCUCCUCCUCCUCUUCUCCUUCCUACUUUUCCUUCUCCUUAGUCUACGCUCCUCCUUAUCCUCAUCUGAUGAUUUCUCCUCAUCAGAUGAAUCAUUCCUCUUCUUCCUCUUCUCCUUCCUCCUCUUCCUUCGACUUUCAUCAUCAUCAUCAUCCAAAUCACCACUUACCCUCUUCCCACUCCUUCUCUUUGACCUACCUCUCUUCUUCCUCUCCCUAGAAUCUGAUCCAUCAUCAUCUGACACCUCCUUUCUGGAUGACCUCCUUUUGCUACUACCCUUCUUUUCAUAUCUCUCAGCAAUAAUCCUCUCAAUCUCAGAAUCAGCAUCAGAGUCAGAACUCUCACUCUCAUCCUCUUCCUCACUUUCACUCUCAUCCUCAACUGCACCCUUACCAUUCACUUUCUUGCCCACGUUCCCCUUCAACUUAUCCAAACCAGACAAAACCGAGGCCUGAAUCGCAUCUGGGUCUUUUUCUUUAUCAUCCUUAAUGCUCAAAAAGUUGCGGCACUGGAAAGUGAGGUGCCCGACACGGCCACAUUUCUUACAUGCUCCACGAGUCUCAUCUGCAUUAGAUCCAGUUAUGCGGGCAAGGGCAAGGAGACCUUGGAAACUAGCAUAAGCAUUCUCAGCCUCUGGUUCGGAAUUCGAUGACUUGGGUUGGGAGGAAUUCUUAGCAUCAUCCUUAUUGGGGGCAUACGGAUCAUAACCAAUUGCACUCUGCCAAAUUCCAUGGGUUUGAAGGGCAGCACUGCUGUGCACCCGAUUAUUGGCGGGCAUACGAACCCUACCUGCUGUCGCCGGCAUCUUUUAUCCUGGCAAGAAAGAUAAAAGCAAAAUAAGGUUUUAUAUUAAGGCUGACAAGAAAAAAAAAAUCAAAUUAGGGUUUUGAAUUAAAUUCUAAUCUCAAACGAAAUUGAUAGGGAUUAGCGUAUCUUAGGGCUUUGAUUAACUCAGAGAGAUAUCAAACUACUGAUAGAGAGGAAUUCAAACAACAUCCACAGAAACUUUUUUUUAAGGAAAAAAUGAAAAAGAUUUGGGAAAUUUUAGAAAUUUCUGGUGUUCUGAAUUAGAACUCCAAUUCAAAACAACAUUGGUAGCAAACCUUAGGGCUUUUUGGGGAAUUGAUAAGAACUUUACUGAUCUCGGAGCAAGAACAAACAAUCAAUAAAGAGAAAAUUUUAGGAAAGACUUACAAGUUUCUAGCAUUUUGAUUAGGGUUUUCAAUUAGAUCUUCAUUAAAAGCCAAUUGCUGAAAAACUUUAGGGAUUUGUUUUGAGAAAGUGCGAAAAACAAACAGAUUGGGGCUUUAAUCGUACAAAAAAUCAAUAAAAUAAAACGCGAACUAGGACGAAAUUUCAGGGAUUCAAAAAAUAAAAACCUCCGAAAUUUCUAGCAUCCCCACCGACAGUCAAAAACAAUGGAUCGAAAUGACAGUCCUCAUGAAUCUCCCAUGAAAUAAAAAAUUGGGGAAAAUUUUCAAGAUUUGUGAGAGAGACAUAUGUUAAUCGCCCUUACAUAUAUCACUGAGAGAGCAUUCAACAGAUAGAUUAGUGAAAGCAUCAAAGAGGUUACCUGCUGUUGCGCCGAAAAUUUCAGAAAGAGGGAUUGGAUAAGGUCUUGGUUUCUUCAGAGAGAGAGAGUGGAGGAGGAGGAGGAGAGAAUCAGAGAAUUCCAGAAGACGGACGUUUGGAAUGGAAGCCUCUCCAGAUUAUAAAGGUCUACAGCGAUAACGUGACCAAAAAAAAUAAAAAUAAAUCAUAAAUUGUUUUUAUUAUUUAUUUUUAUAUAUUUAAAUAGUAUUACAAAUAAAAUUAAUUUUCAUAAUUUUAUAUUAGGAAUAAAAUAAUAAAACAUGGAUUCCAUAUCCUAAAAUAAUAAAAACUGUGGUAAUUAAAGGAAAGUUUCCAUAAUUUGAUUCAUAGUACAGUUAGGAUUAUGAGAGGAAUGCAAGUCUCAUAAUAUAGGAACUCUUUAGACUAUAUAUAUAUAUUUCAUUGAUCCAUGUCCAUCGGAUACAGAGACCCAUGGAUGUCCCGGCUUCUCAACCCUUUCCAUCACUCCCAUCUCUCCCUCACCCUUUCCCUCCUUUUCUUCCCACCGAUCAUUCGAUGGUUUUUCGCAUCUUGAAUAUGUCCGCUAUCCCACUCAUCGUCUUCCUGGUCCUCAUCUGUGCUUGCAUCACCAGAAUAUUCAGAAUUGGAUACAAUGAUCAUGAAACUGCUGCAGAUGCUCCAGAUACUGAUCACUAUCGUGAUCUUCUUUUUCAGCUCCGUUCCCAUCACUCUGAAAGAUUACGCGAGCUUAUGCAAGGAAUAAAAGAGCUGGUGAUGGAAGCAUCAGAUGGUUUUGUGUAUGAUCAAACUAAGGGCAUUAAAGGCUGUGAAAGUGGAGAAAAGUCCAGCAGUAUUAAUACUGGAUGUGUCAUCUGCUUGGAAGACUUCAAAGAUGGAGACGUAUGUAGGGCUCUUCCCGAAUGCCACCAUGUCUUCCAUAAAGAAUGCGUAGUCUCAUGGCUGAUGCAGAGCAAUUCCUGCCCUAUCUGCCGUGCCUUCACUGCCGUCUUUGUCCGAAGGCUGCCUGUGUGACUCUCUCCUCUUGACAGAUAUUGAUCAGGCUUGGAUUAUGAAUUUCUGGAUUGGCUCUAGUUUUCAUUUAAAUACAAUCAUCAGUCCAUAAGUCAUUGUAUGUGUUCUUUUGUAUCUAAUUAGAUGUUUGAAAUUUUGUUAGUAUAUAAUACUGGAUUUUUUAAAUAUUUUUCUUCCUUUUUUAUUUUUAUUUUUAUUUUUAUCUCCUCGUUAUUUCAAAAUUCAAUUUAUGUUUUUCUUUUAUUUUUUUCUCUUUAUCUCAGAAAAUUAUGGUUAUGUCCAUAAGAUUAAACUGAAUUACAGAGGAUUACUAUAUUUAAUAUCAGGUGAGAAACAAUAUUCCAAAAAAGAAUUUUUUCUUUAUUUUUCAAAAACAAAAGAAAUAAAAAUACAUUUUGCUUUGGAAUUUUAAGUCAUUAAAAACCCAACUUCUUAAUUCAAACUUCCAACCACAUGUAUAUCUAUCUUGCUAUACUUGGUAUAAUAAUAGUUACACAAGAAAUCAGAGUUAUGAUCAACUAGUUUCAAUACGUAAUCCACAAAAGAAUUUUUCUUUGCACCCAAAAACUCAUCCUUUUUUUUAUGAGUUGUGUUUGAGAAGACAACAUUCAAAGAAUGCCAUUUAUGAUUAAAAAUGGAUUUUAAUUUUCUUGCUUUUUUCUCCAAAUUAUUAAUAUUAUACCGGGAAAUUACUUAUUUAAUUUUGUUUUAACAUAUGAUUUUGCAAAAAUAUUUAUUCAAAAUAAAUGCACAAAGUAAAUCUAUUCUCAUAAUAAUUUUCAAGUUAUAGAUUUUUUUUUUAUUUACUAAAUGCAUUAUAUUUGCUUAAAAAUCUUUGAUAUUAUUAUUAUUUUAGAGUAGAAUUUUUUAUUUUUUAAAGUUGUUCUUACAACAUAAAAAUAGUAAGUAGGGUGGUAAAAGGACACAACACAAGAUGGGCAUCUCAAAUUCUCUUGCUCAUUCCUUAUCUAAUUAGGAUAAUGGAAAUGCAGCUUGGUGUGCGCUCCAAUGAUUAGGAAAAUAUAAGCGAUUUGUAUUCCAUACCAUCAGCCCUAUCUUUUAAUCUAUAUCUCAAAAUACAUGGACCUCCCCCUAGCUUCUCAUCCUCUUCCACAACUACCAUCACCCCCACCCCCACCCCUUCCUCCUACCCCUCCCCCUCUUCCUAAUGCUGAUGUUGUUGCUUCAGUACUCAUUGGCUUCUUUUCUAUAUUCACUGCCCCACUGUUCAUCUUUUUGGUUGUCCUCACCCUCUGCGGUUGGCUCAAGCGUUUCUUCAGAAGGAGAGAUGAUCAUCAAACUCCAGAGCCGGAUAUCGAAAUCGGAGCUACAAAUCUUUAUCAUGAUCAUCGCCCCCCUUCUCAUGAUUUUAGUCCAAGAACACAUGAUGAUAUUAGUCAAAGAUCUGUAGAGGAGAAGUGGAUGGAAGUAGCGCCAAGCUUUGUGUUUGAUAAAAGUAGGGCUGAGGAAGGUGGAAUGAAGGGUAACGAUGAAUGUGUGAUAUGCUUGGAAGACAUUAAAGAUGGAGAGAUAUGUAGGGUUCUUCCUGAAUGCAGCCAUGUCUUCCAUAAAGCAUGUGUAGGCUUAUGGCUGAUGAAGAAAAGGGUCUGCCCCAUAUGCCGUCUUCGUGUUAAAGAUACUGUACCAAAUCUUGAUUAGGGUUUUCCUGUUUUUAUUUUUUAUUUUUUGGAUUUGUGAGGGCAUGGGAUUGUAUAUACUUUGCAUUCGGUAUCAUUGCUGGCCUUUUCAUGUGUGUUACGUAAUUUCUAUAAGUUAUUUAUAUUUUUAUUGGAAAGAAAAUUUUCCUAAAUACAACACCUACCUUGAUAUUUAUGCAACUGAGGCUAUGGUUCUCAUCUUCCUAUCCAAGGGAUAGCCAUCUUUAGUUAUAAAAAAGAAAUAAUUAAAAGAAAAUGCUAUUUUUUAAUGAUUGUUAUAGUAAUGUUUUUUAAAAUAAUUUUUCAUUGUUUUUGGAAACAAAAUUCUGUUCGAAAAUUUAAAUAUAUAAAAUAGUUUUCUCGAUUUAUUUUUCAUUAAGUUAUAGUAUAUUGAUGUAUAAUGUAAAAAUUCUUAAAAUAUUCUUCAUAUUUUUAAUUAUUAUUUAAAAUAUUUUAAAAAAUAAUUAAAAUAUCUUAAAUUUGUUGUAGAAAGUAACUUAUUUUGAAAAAAGAUUCUCAAAAUACUAUAUUUUGUCAAAAAUUUAUGAAACAUAUUUCCUGAGUUAUAAAAUUAUAUUCUAGUUUUAAAAAUAAAGAAACUAUUUCUAAAAACAAUUUCAAAUAUCUUAACUUUUUUUAUAAAAAAAAACCAAUAAGAUUUUUUCUCUACAUGUUUUCAUUGGCACACGUGUGGGAUGGUUCAACCCCUUUGGUCUAAAUGUAUCCUUGUCCUACGUUACAAUUUCAAAUAUCUUAACUUUUUUUUUAAAAAAAAACAAUAAGGUUUUUUCUCUACAUGUUCUCAUUGGCACACGUGUGGGAUGGUUCAUCCCCUUUGGUCUAAAUGUAUCCUUGUUCUACGUUACAAAUCAUCACAUGAACCAUGACGUGCAUCCUGCAUCAUGGGAUUGGACGUGGAAUAGUGGCAUGAGCUAUGAUACGGGCGUGGCACAAAAUUGUAUUAUCUUCCAUCUGAGUAUACCAUCAUCCUUCAUGUGUUACAUAUCCUUAUACUAAAAAGUUAAUUUUUUUUAAUAUAUAAAUUAUAUAUUUUAUCAAAAAAAAAUGUUGAUUUGCAUUUCAUUUCUCAUUUAUUAAAAAAGAAUACAAAAAAAAAGGAAAAAAAUAAAAUUUCGUUUUAUUUUAUUUUCAUAAGUAAUUCCAAUCACCUUUGAAAUUCAUCAAAUAUUAAUCUUAUUUUAAAUUAAAGGAGUAAGUAAAAUUAACAAAUAAGAAAGAAAGAGAAAAUAUUUAAUAAAAUUUUAAAUAUAAUUAAAGUUAUUUGUUAAAGUUUGGUGAUUUGAAUUUUAUUUGAUCUAACCUAAAAAAUUCAUGAUAUGACGACAUAUAUGGUGAAUCGGUCUGAUCCCUCCACUACUAUCAUAGAUCCUAUUAGGGAUAUAUAUAUUUGUAUGUAUGUGUAUGACAAUGUAUAGUUUUAGGGGGAUAUUAUGUCGAUGAGGAAUAGUUAAAAUAUUCUAAAUACAUCCUUCAUUUUCCCUUUAUCAAUAGUUUUCCUGGUAUUUGUGUUUGCACACCUUUACUUGCUGAAGAACCAUAUCUAGAGAUAGCAACUUCUGAGAAACCUUAAUGUAGCCUUAAAAACCGUAAAAAAGCAAUAGAAUUCUAUCGAGGUUUUAGCCCUAUUAUGCUACAUUCAUUACAUAAAAUCUUCAAUGUGAAACCUACUAAUUUGAGUAAUAGUAUGAGUAAAGUUUUAGGAAAGAUAAGUAAAGUUAAUAUUUAUUUUUAUUUAUAAAUAAUUUUAAGCUAUUAUAAGCCUCAAAACUGACCCAUUCCACCCUUAUUUUGUUUGUAUCUCGUCCAAAUCCAUCAUACUAGACAUGGGCCAUUGAUAAAUCUCCAAAAAUGCAUGCUCCAUUGCUGCUACAAGCCUACGACUAUCCUUAUUUGCAACUGGCGCCUCUAUCCCAUGGCCUCUCAGGUCAAUUUCUCAGUUGACUUUUCAUUUCCUUGGAAUUGUGUCUGCAUAGUGAUGACAAUCUUGAGCAGGUCAUAAUUAUAUUGGGACAAAUCUGGUUGAAUAAUUUUCUUCUUUUAAUCAUAUAUUUAACUCCAUGUUUCACUCAUGUCCCUCCUUUAUUUCUAGAAUUUCAAAAUCUUUAAUAUUUUGUUAAUAAUAACCACCAUGUAUUGCCACAAGAAAUACAAGGAUUCCCAAAUUUCUCCAUCUCCUCCUCCUCUCCCCGACUUUGAUAAUCUAAUAAAAUCUCCUUUGGGUGUUUUCCUUGUCGUAGACCUGAUAGGCUCCACCUUCAUCUCCAUGUACUUCUGUUGCAGAAGAAUGAUGGAUGAAUCUCAAGCUAACGAAGCCCCAGAUACUGAACUUGGAAUACCAAGGUAUCAGCCACAAAAUAGUGGCAGUUCCCAUCAGGUGAUAAGACAUAUUGCCGAGAAAAUAUCAGAGGAAAAUUUGAUGGAAGCAUCACAAAGUUUUGUGUAUGAUGAAAAAAAGGUGAUGAAGGAGUGGCAAAAGUGCAGUGAGUGUGGCAUAUGCCUGCAGUAAGAUGUCAACGAUGGCGACUUUCUAUUUUUUUUUUUUAAUUUUUAAAAUCAAUAAAUUGGGCAUACUUUCCACUUUCUAUUUUUAAAAUCAGAAAAUUUAUACAUAUCAAAUUAUUUAAAAUUUUGAGAUAUUAAAAAAAAAAUUACUACCUUAUAUUUUAAAUUUUCUAAAAAUAAUUUUUAAAAAUAAAAUAAAUUCAAACUUUUAUAUAAAAGUUUCUCAGUUCAAAGAUUAAGGUUGUUAAGAAUUGAAAUAAUGUCUUUUAUUUUGGUGUAAAAAUCAAUUUUUAAUUAAAUAAAUCAUUAUAUCUUUUAAAAACUAAAAUCUUAAUAAUUUUUUUUUAUUGUUUUAAAAAGUAUAUCAUCAUUUUUCUAUUUUAGCUCAAUUUAAGUAAACUUAUAUAUUGUAAUAAGUUUUUUAGUAUAAAAUAUAAAUCCCAAUAUACAAGUAUUUAGAGGAAAAAAAAUUAUUCCAAAGUUAUAAUAGAUAAUUUAAAAUAAAAAGUUGUGAUUUCAAAUAUUAAUUAUGGAAAACUAGAUUUUAUUUUCUUCAAAUUAUCAUGUGUUAUUGAACUAAAAAAGUUAUUAGAUCACAAUUUAAUAAUGAGAUGACAAAAUUAACUAAAAUUAUGUUAUAAAUAAUUAAAAACACAAAAUAUUUCAUCCUCUUAUUUUUUUUUUUUAACAUUAACAUAUGUCAAAUCUUACUAAGUGUGAUAAGGAUGGAAUAUAAAUUAUUAAUAUUUUAAUUUUAUCGAAUGACAAAAUUAUAAUACUUAAUUGUUAAAAAGAUUAUAUAUGGAUUUUUUUUAAGAAAAAUUAUACUUGAUCAAAUAGAAUAUUUAUUAAUUUGAAGAAAUGUGUAUCUAUUUUGUACAUUCUUUUGUAGUUGUUCAUUGAUGGUAAGAGAAAGUUUAUUUUAAAGGAGUUUGUAGUUAAUUUAUAUUUUAAUUUGAACUUUGUCUUUAACUUAAAUCUUAUCUUUAUUGACCUUGACUUAAUUUGGACUUAGGUGUGUUUGGAUCUUGGCUUGAUUUGGACCUUCAUGGAUAUCGAUACUUAGGCCUUGGAAUUAUAUUUACUUAGGUCUUAACUUGAUCUUAGCCAUGAUGAUUUGAGUUUUAGUAUGACUUGGGCCGAAAAUUGACUUGAACAAUGUUGUCUAGGUUUUGAGUAACUUGAUAUCAGAUUAAAGAGAGAUUUCGAUUUUAAGGCUUUGAAGGUCUUGAUAAUUCAAAAAUAUUUUGAAGAAAUUAAAAAUUUAUUGAAAUCUUGUUUUUGAAAUAAAUUUGAAUCUCCCUUAAGAGCUUUUCACGUAGCUUCAAAAUUAACUCAAUUUACUAGGGUUAGAAGCACCAUUUUUUUAUAUUUCAUAUUCUUUAUAAAUUUUAUUAUUAAAGGAGUUUUAAAAGCCAUUUCAUAAUUUUAACCUUUUUUAAUAUUAUCCUAAAAAUAAUAUUUAAGAAAAAUUAAAAAAAUAUAUUUAGCAAUCUCUAAUUUAUUUAUUAACAAGAAUUGAUAAUUAUUUUUUCAUUAUUUUUUUUAUGGUCUAUAAUUAAAUUAAUUUGAGCACAUGGCAUAUUGUAAAAGAUUAAAUUUUGUCCUACUACAUAUCACACAUUAGCUGCCUAAAUCCAAAUCCAAAAAACACACCCACUAAUUCACUAUUGAUUCUGUCUUCUCCAUCUCAAAACCAUGAACGCCCAGAAUUUCUAGUCUCAGUCCCCCCCCCCUGAUGGUAUGCUUGCUAGACUUAAAAGAGCACAUGCGGCCAUGAAAAGAAUAGGGGAGACACUGAGGGAAGCCUCACAAAGCUUUGGGUAUGGGAAGAAUGGUGAUGAGGGGGUGGUGAAGUGCAGUGGGUGUAUCAUGCUUGGAGGAUUUACUAACUAAAGGUAUAGAAUUCAUGUCAAAAAAUGCAAAAAUACUGAAUAAUCAUUAUGUUUGCAACGCAGUAUUAAGCAGUAGGGCAAGGCUUUGCCCCUUCUUUCCAUGAUAAUACAAGGCAAGAAAUAAACAGCUCUUUCCACACUAUUCAACGUUUGUAUAUGAGAUACGGGUUCAAGAAGACAAAUAUUCAGGGCCAUCGUUGAGGGCACAACACACUGUUGCUUUGUGGUGCCCAUUGAACACUCGGAUGGCUUCUGCGGUUGACAGUGUCCAAAGUCUGGCUGUUGUAUCCGAGGAAGCUGCAAAGGACAAUGGCAAAUAGAUGAAACGAAUGAGGCGGCAGGGUGGUUAAUGAUCCUAUAUUCAAUUGGCAACAGAUAUUUUGAAUAAGUGAUCAGUACCUGUGAUUAGAUAUUCACCAUUAGCAGAAAAGACACAGUCCCAAACCCACCGUUGGUGUCCUGGUUAAUAUAAAUGACAUUAAGGAAUUAUAAGUCAGAGCAAUCGAAAGAAACCACUCUGAUCUUUCAGAGAUAAGUCUAAAGCCAACCUCGCUCACCACCGCAGGGGAAAAGAAAGAAUCAAAGAAAUAAAUAAAUGGAAAAUGAGGAUGAGGCUUUAAAAGGAUGUUGAUUUAAAUUACCAAUUAGAGUUUUCUCUAAGGUGAAACCAUCCACAUUCCAUAUCUUAACAGUAUGAUCAGAUGAUGCUGUAGCCAGAUAUCUAGAACAAAAUAUAUAACUUUAGAUCAAAUUCAGUGGUUCAGUUACAAAGCCCAGAGUACAAAUUGGAAUUAAUCAGAGAACAUAACUUUCUUCUCCAGGGGAAAAAAAGGGGGUGGGGGUGUGGGGGUAGUGACCAUACCGUUGAGGGUCACAGAGCUCAGGUGAGAGCAAACACUUAAGAAUGUAGCCACUGUGUGCUUGAAGUUUAUGAAGCGGCUCAAAAUUGGUCAUAGUCUGCAGCAGGAAAAGGGUGUUCUGUUAUAUGAAAAUCAUCAAGAACAAUUUAUUUAUCAUCAAACUAAACAAGGAGUCAAUCAGUUAUAGAGAAUUGAAAACAAUCAUAAGAGAAAAACAUCCUUUAUAAGAGCUAGACCUGGGUCCCUCGCAACAAGCGCCAGACAUAGCAUGUUCCACGAUUAUUUGCAGCCACAACCAAGCUCCCAUCCCACAUUACAGUUAGAGAGCGCACAGCUGUAUCUUCUUCUGGUACCUGAAUUUAAACUGUAAAACUUAAAUAAAGAAUGAAAAAUUAUUUCCUUUGCAUAGUUACUUGGUGGUCCUUGGAGACGUUAGUAAUGAAAUAACAAAGUACAUAUUCAUGUGCGGUCAUUAGAAGAAUGACACAAAGUGAUAAAAUAAGGUUUAAUGAAAAUGGAAGAAUGUAGUGUACUAGAAAAGUUUGUUCUUUCAUUGUGAAAAUCUCACAUAGAACCACAACAGUUUCAGGAACUUUUAUACUGUUUUCUACUGAAUGAGAUAUCAGAGCUUGCUAAGAUGUUAUAUAGGUCUGUUUUUAUUUAUUUAUUUGGUGGAUUUUCUCCACAUAAUCUUCAAAAUAACUAAGAUUUAAUAGAAGUGUCCAUAAGAAUUUGAUUCUUCAAUGAAAUUUCAUAAGAUCAAUACGAAACUGAAGUUCUACACAUGAAAUAAUAUUCAGAAUUAACUCAACAAAUACCAAUUCACAGCUGCAUGAAUUUGCUAUCAAAUCCCAAACUCGAAUAUUUCCAUUUUGGUCUCCAGAUAUUAGUUCUGUCUGCACAACACAUGCAAAAAGUUGGAUAAUGAAUAACUUCAACAGAUAAAUUAUCAAAAUGAGACAUUAUAGUAUGUAAUUUGAUUUUGGCCAGAAAAUGAAACAAAAAAAGGGAAACAUGAGCUUAUGGCUAUGUUCUAGCCAUCAAAGAAAUUAAACUAUAGUAAUCUACAUGGACAAAAUUUAGCAAAAGAUCAUUUUUUUUUUAUAGAUAAACACAGAAAAAAUAUAUUAAGAGAAAAGGGCGCCUAAAGGGCAAUCCAAAGCAUAUAGGGAAUUUAGCAAAAGAUCAUUGCAUCUUCUCUUUAGGUCCUAUGACUCCAAAGAUAAGAUGGGAUUGCCAUUCUACUUCUUUAAACCAAAUCCCAUUAACACAAUUACAAAUGAAAAAUUUGUAAGGCUAUUAUCAGCAGUUUAUAUCUUAUUUCUGUUAGUUUAUUAAAUUAAAGUAUUAGAAUAUUUUAUCUUCCCUUGGUAUAAAUUACUUUCUACAAGAAUGAAAUUCAAGGUCAAAGUAUCGAAGUAAUUACCAACAAUUCUCAUGCUAUAGAGCACAAGUAGACAAAUUUGAAGGCAUCCAUGUUUCAUAUUACAUAGCAAUACCAGCAAGGUACAUAUAGGCCUUAGAGACCCUAAGAUUUGUUUCUUAAUCACCCUCUCAUUCUUAAUCCCCCUCUGCUCUAUAAGCUUCUAACCCCCACUCUUUGUCUGUUCUUAUUUAGGUAUAAGCAGACAAAAAUAAAGUUAGCUAAUUAUCUAAUCUCCAAACAUCCACAACCCAAUCACUGAUUUAUAAGAAAGCUAAAUGAUAUUGGAAAAUGCCAUAUAAUAUCACCUGAUUUGGAUGCAGGACAACAGUGUUAACAGCUGCACGGCUUUCAUAUUCCCGUUGACACCCUGGAGCCCUAAAAUUAGCUUAAAGUGAGAAUAAGAUCAUAGAAAUAUAUGAGGGGCAAAUAACAAGGCACAUGUGAAUAAUUUUUUAAGAUGAAAAUAAACCAGAAAGAACUUGCAAGUAUUUAGGAAGGAAUACCUUACAUAGUGACGAAUAUUUUUGCUUACUAACUUACUUGCUUACCUCAAAUCCCAAAUCUUUACUGUGCCAUCUUCAGAACCAGAAUACAUCCAAUUUCCAUCACAUUGAAACCCCACUGCUGUGACAUUGUUGGUAUGUGAAUCAUAGCUCAUGAUCUAUCAUUGAAACAAAGUGAUGAUUACCAAGGGAAAUUGAUUACAUUUACUUUACAAACAAAAUAGGUAAGAAAAGAAAUGGUAGACAUACAGGUUGGUGACCACUGGAGUUAAUGUCAAAUAGUCGAAUGUGGGGAUUUCCAGCUGCAGCCAAGUACUUCUUAUUUGGGGUUAUAUCAAGUCGAUUAACAUUCUGCAUUUUCAAGAUCACCAUAAGACUUCAUGAAUGUAAUUACCUGAAGGCCCAGAUUCCCUAAUAGCUAGGCUUCUUCCUUUCCCCUCCCCUCCUUCCCCUUCCCCAAAAUCAAACCUUGAUCUCCACUGAUAUCCAGGAGAAUCAUACCACUAGGCCACAGGGCCUGUUGCCCCUGUUUGAGUUCCAACCAUCCAGUUUGAACACUGUUGCCUAAGAACAUUCUAAAAGAUUUUCCACCCAGUAGGAUGAUUAUUGAAUUUGAUUAAAACCGAAUGUCAGAAUUAUUGAACAAUUUUUCUAUAUAACCCUUUUGACUAUUCCUGAUUUCAUACAUGUCCAGUAAUUUUUUUCAAUACCUUGAAGCUCAAACCAAUACAAUUUCCCAUGACCAUUAAAACCAAAAUGCCCAGAACCAAACAACACACCACCAAAUUAUAAUUAUAGAAGCGAAAAAAAAAAAACAAAAAACAAAAGACUUACAAAUUCUGGGUACUGAAUAGUCCGAUAGCACCGACCACUCUCGGCUUCCCAGAACUUGAUUGUGUGAUCGUAGCUGGCCGUAGCGAGGAUCACUGAUGGUUGGGCCAUUUCAGCCACCUAAUUCUGAGAAGAUACUCAUUCCAUCAAAAGAACUGAGUGAUUAAAUCCUUCCAGGUGCCACAAAAAGAUCAUUGAAUACAGAAGAAAAGAAAAUAAAAUAAAAUGAAUGAGGAAUGGCUGAAAAUAAAAAGUACGUCUCUUGACCUAAAUAUAUUUUAUUUUUUUUCUGACUUUUGGUGCACUCUCGCAUUUUCUGGGUAGGCAAACGGGGGUUAGGGUUUAGCUGACGACCCAAACGGGUGAACUCCUUGAACCCAACUUGAAUCAAGGCGUUAGAAGGAAACUCCUCUUUUCUUUACUUCCUUUCAUUUUCCCCAAUUUGUAUUUUUUAUUUUUUAUUUAUUAUGUUUGAAACUCAAUAUGAAGCAUUAUUUUACAAAAUUUAUUUUAUUUUAUUAAAAAAAAAAAAAGAAAUAAAAAUUACUCGUAGAACAUGAAAAUAAAAAAUAAAAAACUAAAAAAUAUUUUCUGAACAAAAAAUAAUCCAAAUUUCUUAUCUUUUAUUGUAAGUUGUUGUGAUGAGUUUCUAGUUUUUCAUGUUUACGCUUUGAUGAAGGAUUUAAUAUGUAGUCAAAUAUUUUAAAAUUCCAUGCAAAAGCUACAAUUUUUCAUAUUCUGUUAUGAAGUGUCAGAGUAAAGAAAAAUAAAAAAGAAAAGAAAAAGUGAUAAAAGAACGAUGGUAUGUUAGUGUUUUUAAUGGAUUACAAUUUAUGUUGAUGGGUUGUUAUAUCGUGUCAAAUGUUAAGUAUUUUACUAUAUGAUUAACUAUAUAAUUAAAUCCGGACCCAAUAAAUCAUGUUAAAAACAUAAAUCUAAAUAUUAUCUAAUUAUUAAAUAUAAGUAAUAUAUUUAAUCCAUUUAAUAAUUAAAUUCUCCUAUUUAAUCAUGUCUCAAGCAUAUUUAUAAAUCAAUUAACUUAUUUCUUUAAAAAUAAAUUUGAAAUAAGUUAAAUACAUGUUAAAUAAUUUUAAAAUAUAACUAGGUUAAAAAUCGGAUUAUUAAAUGAGUCGAUUCAAGUAAAAUUUAUGUUAUGUAUGUUGACUAAAAAUUAUCUAUUCAUUAAUGAGUUACGUAGGUUGACAUAAAUUUGACAUAAACUUGUUUAUACUCAAUCCAAAUUUGUGAAAAACGUGUUAAAUUCGUAUCGUGUUGAGAAAUCAUAUUAAAAUUUGUCACCUCUAGUAUUUGCCCUUUAAAAUAAUAUUCAAUAUUAAAAAGAGGAAAUAAAUCAUAUUUAUUAAAUAAUAACAUACAAUUAUUCUUGUCCUUAAAUUGAAUUGAAUGUUAUGCAUUCGUUUUUUUAUUAAUAAAAAUUCAUAUAUAGUCUUAAUAGUUAAUGCAUAAUAUUGAAUUUAAAGUCAAUAUUUUAAUUUUAAUUUUUUAAAAUUUAUAAUUACAUUAAAAAUAGGUAUAUUUCAUAAAUAACUAAAAUAAUAUUUUUUAUAGCUUAUUUUAUCACAAAUAAUUUUUAUUUUUAUUUUAUAUGUGUUAAAAUAAGAACAUAAAAACUUAAUUUAAAUUAUUUUUAAAUGAAUUAUUUAUAUAAUUGGAGUAUGAUAAGAUAAGACAAUACUCCAACCCACUUUAAGUUUAAAAGAAAAUACCCCAUUCAUCCUUAACCUAUUUAUUUUAAUCUCAAAUUUGUCUUAUUAGAGCAGUAUGUAGCAUAUACUAAAAAAAACCUCUCAUUAUCAUCCCUAGUCAUAUUUUUCGUAUAAAUCAUCAAUUAACAUCUAUUUAUAAGUGUGAUGUCUCAUGUUGAAUAAAGGAGAAAAUAUCAAGCUUAAAUAAAUCAUAAUCCUUCUUAAACCAAGUAAAUACAUUUUAAAUUUGUAAAAAAGACGACUUUUAUUUUAAGUCUUUUUGAAAAAAGACUCAUUAAUUUAAAAAAGAAGAAAAUACUUCUAAUUUAUAUGAUUCAUUAAAAAGAUAGAAAAGAUUUAUAUUUUACUAGAAUCUAUGAGUUCUAAUAAAUUGUUCUUAAGAAUAUUUAAUCAAUUUACUAUAAAAAAAUGAAGCUAAAAUUACCAUUUUUUUUUCUUAUGGUUUCACCUUAAUUUUUCUUAUUUCUUUUCUUCUAAUGUUCUUAUUAUUCACUUUAUAUAUAUAAACAUUAUCUGUAUUGUUUUUAAUAACAAAAUAACUAUUUGCAAUAAUUAUUAUGGCAAGUAAUAAAAAUAAUGAUAAUCUUAUACAAUAAUAAUAAUAAGACUCAAAAUAGUAUUGUCAAUAUAACUAUUAAUAAUACUUACUAAUAAUAAAUAAAUAAAUAAAUAAAUAAAUAGAUUGAGUCCUUCAAACGAGAAAUAAUGAUAAAAAGAUGAAAAGCAAAAAAUAAGAAAAAACAAAAACUUUGUGUCUUCUAAAGUUUCAUGGCUUUUCACUAAUUUUAAAAUUUUAAAUCCGUCAACCUAUUUAUGCCUAUAUAUACAUAUGAUUGUCAUACCUACCUCACAUCAAUGUCACCAAACAGGGCUCUAAAAGAAACCCCUGAUUUUGAAACAUCUAAUAAUGAGGAUGUUGGAGGUGUGACAAAGAACACCCUGAUUUUGAAACAUCUAAUAAUGAGAAUCUUUUUUUUUUUUUCAGAUAUUAUAAUUAAAUUUCUGAUGUGGCACUUUAAAGCUUGAAGUUUCACGACAUUAAUUUAUUCAAAUGUGGUACCCAGUUGGACAAUAACCAUUUUUGUCCAUCUCUAGGCCAAGCUGUUUCAAAAUGUCUCAAAUUCUUAAUCAUGUGUUAUUUCUUUUAUUAAAAUAUUAAUUAAAUUAAAAUAUUUAUCACAAUCUUCACUACAAAUUAAAUUCCAUUAACUCAAUCUUUGAUCUUUUAAUGAUCUUGACAUAUGCCUUAUCAUACUUAUAGUAAUUUAUACUUGUCUAUUUAAUUAUGUAUUUCAUCUCUCUUGUUAUCGUUAAUUAUAUAUCUUAUUAUUCGUUAUCCACUAGCUAUUUCUUUGUUACAAUUCCUAAUUAACAUGAAUAUGAAAAAUAAUUUAAGAUAUAAUUAAUUUAAAAAAAUAUAGAAUCUUAAUAAUUAAAAGAAUGAUAUUAAAUCUAUUUAAUAAUUUUUAAAUGAUGAACAUCAAUCAUGAUCUUAACUUAAUUACCUAUCUAGUAAUUAAGAUUCCCCACCAGUUGCUUGGUCUUUUGGAAAGAAAAUUAGAGUUGCGAAUGGACAUCGAAUUGUAUUCUUGUAAUUGUGGUCAAAGAGCUCAUAUGAGGUGUUGUGUCAAUGCAACUAUUACAAACUUUAAUGUAAAUAAUAUCAGUUUAAGAAGAUAAAGAUAAAACAACCCGUACAAAGGUUUUGAUAGUACUAAAGCAAUAUACCUAGAUGAGAGAAAAUUCUUCUAUUAUAUAAUAAAAAAAUAUUAUAAAAGAUAAAAUUUUGAUAUAACUACUGUGUUUUUGAAACAUAUACUUGGUAAUUGUUUUCGAGAAUUAUUUUUUGUUCUCUUAAAAAAAAAAAAAAAACAACUUUGACAACAAAAAACUGUUUUAUGUUCUCAAAAGCAAAAAAUAUGGUGUUUUCAAUUUUUAAGAAUAGAAGAUAUGAUGUUUUUUAAAAAAAAUCUUUUACUUGUUUUCUAUAAUUUUUAUUUGUUUUUUAAAGGUUAUUUUAAAAAAUAAUUAUAGAAACAUGUAAAAUAUUUAAAAAUAAAACAUUAGACAUAAAAAUUAUUUUUAAAAUAAAUUAAAAACAUUUUAGGUUUUUAAAAAAACUUUUAUUUUAUAAAAUAUUAUAAAAUAGUUUUUAAAAACUGUUUUAAAAAAUAAUUGUCAAAGAGAUCAAUAAUGUUUUCAUAGUCUUUAUAUUUACACCUUAAACCAUGAUCAACUUAUUUCACGGAUCUUUCCUAUUUUUACCCACAUCUUUAUCCACUUAAAAUUCGAUUUCACUUUUUUCUUAUUUGGUAAGAAAAUCUAAUAUUGUAAUAAUGUAUAACUUAAAAACUAUUUUAUAUAAUAUUUUUUAUUAGAAAAAAAUUAUACUAAUUAGGAAGUAGAGAUACUAUGCACCGUUACCAUGAGAUAUUCAAGAAAUUGGAAAAGAAAAUAAAUCGCAAGUGAAAUAAGUAAUCGAAGGACAUUUAAAUAACUUCAUGCACUGCAAUUGAUGGACGUCUAAAAUCAUCCACAAUUCUCCCCGCAUUUAGGUAAUUAUUGAAUAGUAUUGGUUAUACACAACCCACUUAUUAAUACUCUACACGACACGGGAGACAUGAAACCGACAACCAUGAUAAUUAUUUGUAGCCACCACCCUAAGUGCCACCAAUUUCUUCCUCUCAAGAAAGGUAGAUACACUGUGCAUAACCUGCAAUUAAUCCAAGUUGAAAACCACAAUUUCAGGUCAUUGUGGGUACAAAACACACUAAAGUUUUCAAUUUUGAGGUUGGAAAGAAGAGAGAAAUACUCACUGGGGUUGAUAGUGGUGACUCUUCCGGUGUUCUUGAAAUCGCAGCUCUCCAUGGUGCGACCAUGGGUUUGAUAGUAACUGUUCAUGGCGUAGCUUGCAUGUGACCACACGCUGUAGGGGAUGGAGCAAUCCCCUCCCUUUUGUAUCGCUGUGCAAUCCACACCGGUGGCGCAUGCAAAGUCUAAAUUCAACUGCAGCGAGGCAAUGGGGACGCCGCGUUUAGGAACGCACCAUGUUUUCUCCCCUUCAAGAGGCUGCAUAGCAAAUUGAAUCCUCAUGAAAAUCCAUUAAUUUCUUAAGUAAUGAUACACAAGGCGAACGGAUUUUUACAACUGAAAAUCACCUGGGCUGUCUCAAAUUCCUGCACUUGCUGGCCUCCUCGUAAACAACCCGACUCGUAGACGGGACUGAAGUCGGGUUUCAACAGCCCAAAAUUCUGCUCUGAAGGGCCCGGUUUCUGGUUCUCGUUGAACAAAGCGAAAAUGUAGGUUUCCAAGGGUUUUCCAGGCAUCAGUGGCGUCCCUUUGCCGGAGGUAAUGUGCUUGAUGAGGUUUGAGUUAUAAAGUUUGGCUUCCUCCAUCCCAAUACCUCUGCCGGGGUCACCCACCGACGACCACCCGGUUUCGCCCACAACAAGGCUGACGUCGCCGAAACCCGCGCUCUUCAUGGCGGAGUAAACAGAGUCGACCAUAGCAUCGAACAUGUUAGUGUAGGUAAGCCCAGUUGCCUGGUCGUGUGCGCCCUCGUUUUCACCGAACAACAAGAAGUUCCUGAGAUCCCCAGAGUAUGCAAAGUAGGGGUAGGGGUUCACCAUGAACGGAGAGUUGGUUUCCCGGUGAAAUUGGAGCAUCGGGAUCAAUAAGCUCUGUUCGAAUUCCAUCGCAAAUUUACCAGAGCUGGGUGGGCUGGAGCUGGCCAUUAUACUGAAAGGGUGAGGAGUUGUGACCUUAAUGUCAUUGAUGCCAGCGGCUUGUAGAGCCGCGUGGAUCGCCUUCAUCGCCGGAACGAGGUUUACGAUGAGGUCACUAAUGCCGGACAUGGUGAUCUCGUUACCAACACAGAUGUAGUUGAUUUUGGUUUUUUGGUAGAAUGGGACGAUGUUGGUGGCGACCCAGUUAGUAGCCUCGUUGGGGUGAACGAGUUUGGGGAUAUCCAAAUUGACGACGGUGACAGUCAAGCCAAUGCCAGUGUUGGCGAACGCGUUGAUGAUAUCGGGGUUGGUGUCGAAGAUCUUCACUCUGUCAAAGAUGGUUUUAUCUUUGAUAAAGGCCGCCACUUCAGAUGGUGAUGCCAGGUUGUCUGCGACAGUGCCGUAGUUGACUCCAAUUGAAUACACGGCAGACAAGUUGUGGAAGAGAACGAGGAGGAGGAGAAGAGACGGUAGUUUUGCCGCCAUGGUUGCAAGAGGAGGGUUCUUAGAGCUACACACGUUAGGGCUAUGUCGUGGCUCUAUAUAUACACACAUGCAUGCAAUAACUUGUAAUUCUUUUUUGGUAAGAGAAGUAGAUCCUCCAUCUCUUUGUUGCGGUCCAAUUCCUGGUUUCCAUGAAUUUCUAUAUAAGGGUUUCCACCAUUAAAUUCGGACGAUAAUAAUUUCCUUUUUUGUUUUUGUCCUCUUGGUAACAAACUUAAUUUAUAAUUUGAUUUUAUAAAUUUGAUGAACAACAGUCCAAAAAGAGACUCGGAUUUCACCUUCCUAUUAUAGAAUUUUCUAAAAAUAUUCUAUAAAAAUUUGGAAUUUUUGUAAUAACUUAACUAAUAUUAUGGUGCAUAUAUUUGGAGACAAAGGGAGUAUUAAAAAGGAAUUUAAAGGAGAAAUAUCAAAACAUAUUUUUGUCACUUAAUUGAUCAUGUAAUAUAAUUUCACGAUAAGGAAAAGUUGGAGAGAAAAUCAUUAGAACUGCUUUGUUUGUAUUUUUUUUUUUCUUUUUUCCUAAUUAAAUGCAUAUCAAGUUGUUUUAAGAUUUAAGGUAUUUUAGAAUUUUUUAUUUUUAAUUUAUUAUGUGCCUCUUGUUAAAUAAGAUUAUUAUUAUAUUUGUUUAACUUUUAUCUUUUUAUUUCAAAAUAAAUUACAUUGACUUUUAAAAUUUUCUACUAAUUCUUGAAUUCAAAAUAAAUCUACUUGUCCUUUAACAAUUUAACAGAGAAACGAAUUUGUCAUAGAUUAAUAAAAAUAUCAUCAAGAAAAAUUGAAUUAGUCGGUUAAAUUCUAUAUAUAUAUAUAUAUAUAUUUUACCAUUUUCCUUUUUGAAUAGUAGAUGUAAAAUUUUUAAAGAAUGUUUAUGCAGAAAACAAAUCAGCAUAAGAAUCAGUUUGGAUAAGAAAUAAGUUUUGAAAUAAAUUUAUAAAUUUUCAAGAUUGAAAAAAUACCCAACACACAUACUAUUUUUGUUUCAUACUAAUUCUAUUUUCAAAUAAAUUAUUCUCUAUAAAUAAAUAAAUAUAUAUAUAUAUAUAUAUAUAUAUAGAACUAAAAAAUAAAAUUUGAAUAAAAAAUGAAUUAAUUAUUAUCUUUUUCUGAAAUUUAGAUACUUACAUUAUAAAGUAACUGAAACAAAAUUAAUAUAUUCGUUCAAAUAAAAUUUAUAUUAUUAGAAUUCUAAAAUAUAAAUCAUAUUCAUCUAAAUAUCCAUUAAAAUAAUAGUCGGUUAAAUUCUCUCUCUCUCUCUCUCUAUAUAUAUAUAUAUAUAUAUAUUGAAAUAGAUACCCAACACACAUACUUACUAUUUUUGUUUCAUACUAAUUCUAUUUUCAAAUAAAUUAUUCUCUCUCUCUCUAUAUAUAUAUAAAGAACUAAAAAAUAUAAUUUGAAGAAACAUGAAUUAAUUAUUAUCUUUUUUCUGAAAUUUAGAUCCUGAUAUUAUAAAGUAACCGAAAACAAAAUUAAUAUAUUCAUUCAAAUAAAAUUUAUCUUAUCAGAAUUCUAAAAUAUAAAUCAUAUUCAUCUAAAUAUCCAUUAAAAUAAUAGUUGGUUAAAUUAUAUAUAUAUAUAUAUAUAUAUUACCUUUUUCCUUUUUGUAUAAUAGAUGUGAAAUUUUUAAAGAAUGUUUAUGCAGAAAACAAAUCAGCAUAAGAAUUAGUUUGGAUAAGAAAUAAGUUUUGAAAUAAAUUUAUAAAUUUCAAGAUUGAAAUAGAUACCCAACACACAUAAUUACUAUUUUUGUUUCAUACAAAUUCUAUUUUCAUAUAAAUUAUUCUCUAUAAAUAUAUAUAUAUAUAUAUAUAAAGAAAAAAAUAACACUUAAAAAUAAAAUUUGAAUAAAAAAAUGAAUUAAUUAAUAUCUUUUUUCUGAAAUUUAGAUACUUACAUUAUAAAGUAACUGAAACAAAAUUAAUAUAUUCAUUCAAAUAAAAUUUAUCUUAUUAGAAUUAUAAAAUAUAAAUCAUAUUUAUCUAAAUAUCCAUUAAAAUAAUAGUCUGUUAAAUUAUAUAUAUCUAUAUAUAUAUAUUACCUUUUUCCUUUUUGAAUAAUAGAUGUAAAAUUUUUAAAGAAUGUUUAUGCAGAAAACAAAUCAGCAUAAGAAUUAGUUUGGAUAAGAAAUAAGUUUUGAAAUAAAUUUAUAAAUUUCAAGAUUGAAAUAGAUACCCAACACACAUAAUUACUAUUUUUGUUUCCUACAAAUUCUAUUUUCAUAUAAAUUAUUCUCUAUAAAUAUAUAUAUAUAAAGAAAAAAAUAACACUUAAAAAUAAAAUUUGAAUAAAAAAUGAAUUAAUUAUUAUCUUUUUCUGAAAUUUAGAUACUUACAUUAUAAAGUAACUGAAACAAAAUUAAUAUAUUCAUUCAAAUAAAAUUUAUCUUAUUAGAAUUCUAAAAUAUAAAUCAUAUUCAUCUAAAUAUUCAUUAAAAUAAUAGUCGGUAGAUGACAAUCUACUCAUUAGAUAUGAUGUAAGGAUAUUGUCAUUAAUAAAAAUUUGGUAAUUUACUCGGUUCUAGAUGAAAAUUUAGAAGAAGGUGUAAUAUAUUCUCGGGGUUAAAGUCCUUUAGGACUGUAAGAAUAUGAAAAUUGUAUCAUAUCACCUACAUUGAUAAACAUUUGGUCAAGUACAUAAUAUAAAACUCCAAUAAGAGUUUGUUACCAUUUAGGUUUAAGGUUGUCUUUCUCAAGAGCAAUGUCUUUAGACAUAUGUGGAGAGAGAUUGCAUUAAGGUGAUAUCCUAUGCCUCUACAAUGGAUAGUUUUAAGUAUGUGAUGCUACAUAUUGGACUAAAUAUUUGUUUUGUUAUAGGAAUAAUGAGUGGAUAUUAGUCCAUUUCCUCAUUAGAGCUUUUGGUGGAUGUCAAGCAUAUACUCAAGUAUCUUUAGAGAACAAGAGAUUAUAUGCUUGUGAAUCUUUAUGAUGAGUUAGUACUUCUUUCGUAGUUGGAAUUGGACUUCAAAACAAACAAAUUUUAAUUUUUUAAGGUACAAAUGAAUGAAAAGGUACUCAAUUAAGGACAUGAUAUUCUAAAACUUUUUAUUUAAUCUUUGAAAUUUUUUAUUUAAUUUAUAACUAAUUAAUCAGUUUUUAAAUUUCAAAUUAUUCUUAAAAAAUAAGAACAUUUAUUAAAGAAUUCAAAACAUUAUUUAUGUCUAUUAAUUUUUAUAGUCAUUACAUAUAUUUUUGGGUUUCAAAUUAUUUUUAAAAAUUGUUUCUCAAGAACAAUAAUAAACAAUGGUAUAAAUUUUAAGAUGAAUAUAUUUUUAAAUCACACACUAAAAUAGAUUUUUUGAAAACUAUACAUAUUGUGAGAGUUUUUUUAAAAUGAAAAUAAAUAUUUUAACAUUAAAAUAAAAACAAAUAAUUACAACCUUACAUUCCUAAAUACAUACGUAAGAAUUAAAAUUACCAGGUUGUUUCCUAAAUGAGGAAUGAGAAUGGAAAUAUAAAAGUUUCCAUUCCCAUUUCUCAUUCCAGCGCACGAAACACACCUUGAAGGACAUUCAAAUAACUGGAUGCCAACAUCUAACAAUGUACACAGUUCUUCGAAAAUUUAAAUGAAAAUUGACUCCCAUAGGUUAUAAACAACCUACUUAUUAAUAUUCUAUGUACGGGAGACAUGAAAUCAAUAAUAAUUAUUCAUAAUCGCCACCCGCUGACCCACCACCUUCUUCUUCUCCACUAAUGUAAGAACAAAGUCCAUAACCUGCAUUAAUCCACACUACACGUCACAAUUUCAAGUCAUCAUGGAUAUAAAACACACAAUGGUUUUUCAAUUUUGAGGUUAGAAAUAAGAUAGAAAUACUCACUCGGGUCCUUAUGAGUGACUAUUAUGGUGUUCUUGAAAUCGCAGCUCUCUUUGGUGCGACCAUGGCUUUGAUAGUAAGCGUUCAUGGUGAAGGCCGCAUGUGAACUCACGGUGUUAGGCUCGAAGCAUGCCCCACCUUCUUAUAUACUUGAGCAAUCCACUCCGGUGGCGCAUGCAAAGUCUAAAUUCAACUGCAGCGAGGCUUCGGGGGCUUCUUUUUUAGGAAUGCACCACGUUUUCUAUCCUUCAAGAGGCUGCAUAGGAAAUUGAAUCCUCAUGAAACUACCAUUCAUUUCUUAAGUAAUGACACACAAGGCGAACAUAUUUUUACAACUAAAAAUCACCUGGGCUAUCUCAAAUUCCUGCUCUUGCUGGCCUCCUUGUAAACAACUCAACUCGUAGAUGGGACAAAAGUCGGGUUUCAACAGCCCAAAAUUCUGCUAUGAAGGGCCUGAUUUCUAGUUCUCGUUAAACAAAGUGAAAAUGUAGGUUUCCAAUAGGCAUCAAUGGCGUCCCUUUGCCGGAGGCAAUGUGCUUGAUGAGGUUUGCGUUAUAAAGUUUGGUUUCCUCCAUCCCAAUACCUCUGCUAAAGUCACCCAUUGACGUCCACCUUGGCUCCUAGUGAUAUGCACAGUGUAGAUUCAUCCUAAACUGUGGCAGAAUAGGCUAAAGCAAUGGCCUAGAAGCAAGAAGCGUCAAUAAUCCAACAUUUGUGAGCUUCCGAAAAACCUUGCUCAAUGGCAUGUCCAACUGUGAAAACUGUCUUGGUGUCCUCAAAACAAAAUGAACAGAUGCCUGCGGAACUCUAAGUCUAAGGUAUAAAGUUGGAGGUCUCUCUAUGACCUGUGCUGCAUAGCAUGGCUAUACUAGAGCAUGAUAUGAGACUAGAGACCUCUCUAUGCCCGGUACUACAUAACACAAUUGUACUAGUGUGGGAGACGAGUAAGUCUGAUCAUAUGGCCGAGAAUGUGCCCGUGGCCUAUACUGGUGAGGUGAAUUAGAAGGGUAAGCCCUAGCAAGUUGUGAAAUUGACUGAUGACGUCCAAAAGGCCUCUGACUAGUAGAAGUAAUAGUGCUCACAUCUGACCUUUGUCCUUAAAUUGGUUUCUUUCCUUUAGCAUCAACAAGGGAAGAAUCAGACUAUAAUCCUCUCGAAAUGUUAUCCUCCACGUCAUACAACACUGAAACCAAAGAUCUAAAUUCUAUAAAAGGUACUCUGACCACAUGUCUAGCAAUCUUGGGUUGCAGACUCCUCAAAAUCAUUUGUAUCUUAUCUCUCUCCAAUGAUCUAUCAACAAUUUCUGUUAUCUUUCCCCUCCAAUGGGAGAUGAAGGAAGAAACAGACUCAUCUGAUAUCUGUCUCAAAGCCUCUAGUUCUUUCCUCGACACAUUUACAACAGUGUUAAAUGAAAAUUGUCACAAAAACUCCUAAGCUAGGUCAUCCCAUGUCUUACGUCGCGAGGACUCCAAAAAUGUGAACCAACAUUAGGUUAUGCUACUCAUAGAUAAAGGGAACAUGGUGAUCAUCUGUGACUCAUCUAUGUUAAUGUUACCAUAUACAAUUUAGGAAUCAUAUUGGUUGUACAUAUAGGAAUGUUAAUGUUACCAUGUAUAAUUUAGGAAUCAUAUUGGUUGUACAUAUAGGAAAAGAUUGACAGAUUGGCUUACCAUGUAUUUGUUGAUGUUACCAUAUACAAUUUAGGAAUUAGUUAGACUCCGUGUAUAGGAUAUAUAUUUGUAUAUAGAUGGAUGCAGUAAAAAUAUAUAUAAAAAAAAAAGAAUCAGAGUUCUUGGUUUCUUUGGAGUUUUUUUUAGUAUUUUGACAUGAUAUCAGAGCAAGGUUUCGGCACCUUCUGAGUGGAGUUCGUGAUCUUCUACCAAUCAAAUGCUUGGCAUCGAAAAUAGUGUUGAUCGGGUUCAUCACGACCUGGUUCUUGGUCAUUUCUAUUCCAAUUUUCUGGUGGGCUAUUUCCUUUGUCUCUCGGUUGCAUCAUGUCAUCAGAUAAGUUGGAAUAGUUUCCUAUUAGAUUUACUGGAAAAAAUUAUUGUGCUUGGGAGUUUCAAUUUAAAUUAUUUGUCAAAGGAAAAGAAUUAUGGGGUCAUAUUGGUGGGAGUAAUCCUGCACCUCGUGAUGUUGAGGCUUUGUCUAAGUGGGAAAUUAAGGAUGCUCGGGUUAUGACUUGGAUCCUUAGAUCGGUUGAACCUCACCUUGUUCUCAAUCUGAGGUCUUAUAAAACUGCUGCUAUGUGGAAUUAUCUCCACAUGGUUUACAAUUAAGACAACUCUGCUAGGCGUUUUCAAUUGGAGUAUGAGAUGGCUAAUUUCACACAAGGAAGUCUCUCAAUUGAGGAAUAUUUUUUUGGUUUUCAAACUAUUUGGAUUGAUUAUUCCGACAUUGUUUAUGCUAAUGUUCCCACUAUAGCUAUCUCUGUUGUCCAAGCAGUGCAUGUAACCAUCAAGCGAGAUCAAUUCUUGAUGAAGCUACGACCCGACUUAGAAAUUACACGGUCUAAUCUAAUGAAUCGUCAUCCUAUACCAUCUCUGGAUGCUUGCUUGAGCGAACUUCUGCGUGAGGAGCAGCGUAUCGUAACUCAAGCUACUAUGGAACAUUGGGCUAAUGUUAGUGCACCUAUUUUUGUGGCUUAUGCAGCAUAAGGGCGGAAUAAGGGUCGAGACAUGCGUGUUGUCCAGUGCUUUAGUUGUAAAGAUUUUGGUCACAUUGCUCAGGAUUGUCCCAAAAAGUUCUAUAACUACUGCAAGAAACAAGGUCAUAUCAUCUCUGCUUGUCCCAUUUGGCCUAAAAGGAAGUAGGGUAGUGCUUAUCAUGCCUCCACCGGUGCCUCUAGGUCUAUUGCAUUGCCUGUUGCCUCGUUGGUUGUUCAUAUUCCCGCUCCUACAGUCUUAGCAAACCCAAACACACUCACUCUUGAAAUAGUACAACAAAUGAUCAUUUCUGCUUUUUCUAUUUUUGGGUUCUUAGGUAAUCAUACGGUUUCUUCUAAGCCAUGGUAUUUUGACUCUAAAGCUUCUAACGAUAUGAAGAAUACUGUUUUUUUCUCUUUCCAAUGUCAUAAAUUAUGAUGGAAAUCUAAAAAUUAACACUACUGAUGACAAUUAUCUGCCUAUCGGUGUUGUUGGUGAUCUUUCAUCUUCCUUAACUAAUGUUUUUACAUCUCUUGACCUCUCCACAAAUCUUAUUUUUGUUGGUCAAUUGGUUGAUAAUAAUUAUAAUAUCAAUUUCUCCCGUUCUGGUUGUGUUGUGCAGGAUCAAGUGUUCGGGAAGAUGAUCGUGAAGGGGCCUAAAAUGGGAUGACUCUUUCCUCUUCAUGUUUCUCCUUCCACUAUGAUUCCUAGUUUUCUUUUACUUUCCUUUCCAUGUAAUGUUGUUGGUUCUGGACAUAAGAUGUGGCAUAGACGUCUUGGCCAUCCAAACUCUGAUGUACUUCAUCCUUUGUUUAAUUCUGGAUUAUUGGGAAAUAAAACAUGUUCUUUUCUUGAUCUUUCUUUCGAUUGUACGUCAUGCAAACUUGGCAAAAGUAAAGUUCUACCUCAUUCCGCAUCUCGUGCCUCACAAUGUUUUGAUAUUAUACAUAGUGAUGUUUGGAGGAUUGCACCUAUUGUUUCUCAUGCACAUUACAAGUCCUUUGUUCAUUUCAUUGAUGAUUUUAGUUGUUUUACUUGGGUUUACUUCCUUCAGGCUAAGGCUAAAGUUUUUUCAAUCUUUAAGCGCUUUCUUGCACUUAUUGAGACUCAAUUUUCUACCAACAUCAAGGUUUUGCGCUUUGAUUCUGACGGAGAAUACAUGUCUAAUGAGUUUCAGGACUUUCUUCAAAGCAAAUGGAUCAUCUCUCAACGUUCUUGUCCUUCGACACCACAACAAAACGAUGUUGCUGAGAGGAAAAAUUGCCAACUUCUUGAUGUGGUAAGAACUUUUUUACUUGACUCAUCGGUUCUUCCUCAUUUUUGGUGUGAAACACUUUCUACUGCAAUUCAUUUGAUCAAUCGUUUACUCUCUCCUAUGUUAAAUCAUGUUUCUCAUUUCUCUAAGUUGUUUGGUCAUUCUCCUUUAUAUUCUAAUCUUCGUACAUUUGGUUGUGUUUGUUUUGUGCAUCUACCUACUCAUGAACGACAUAAACUAACUAUUUAGUCUGUUAAGUGUGUUUUUCUUAGUUAUGCUAUCCUUCACAAGGGUUAUGUUUAUUAUGAUCCCCAUGCUCGUCGUAUAUGAGUUUCUUGGAAUUUGAUUUUCUUUGAAAAUCAAUAUUUCUUUUCAUCUCAUGUUGAGUUGUCAUCUACAUCUGUAUCUCUUCUGCCUAGUUUUUCUGAUUCCCAAAUAAUUGUGGAAAGGUUCAAACCUGAUUUUGUGUAUGAAAGACGUUGUUGACAUGAGUUUGGUUCCACUUCCUCUGUGCCCCCUUCCGAUCUUGACCCGACGCUCAAUCCUGCUCCUGCUUCCACCACUCUUCGUCGGUCUACUCGUCUUUCUUGACCCCCUGAUUGGUAUGGAUUCUUCUCUCCUAUCUUUCUUGUUGCUACUUUGUCCAUUAUUUCUAUUCUCUAUUGCUAUCAACAGGCCAUGGAACAUGAGUGUUGACAAAAUGUAAUGCAAGCAGAACUUCAAGCACUUGAAGAGAAUCAUACUUGGGAUAUUGUUCUUUGUCCUCCUACAGUCAAACCUAUUGGGAGUAAAUGGGUUUUCUCUGUAAAACUUUUUUCUGAUGGCUUUUUAGAUCGGUACAAAGCUCGCCUCGUAGCUCUAGGUAACAAACAGGAAUAUGGGGUUGAUUAUGGGGAGACAUUUGCUUCUAUUGCCCAAAAUGACCAUGGUUCGAACCAUCUUAACUAUUGCCGCUUCACAGUCAUGGCAACUACAUCAAAUGGAUGUAAAAAAAUGUUUUUCUUCAUGGUGAUCUCCAGGAAGAGAUUUACAUGAAGCUUCCCUUUGGUUAUGACUACUUCUUCUCCUUAUGAUGUUUGUAAGCUAAAACGUUCUUUGUAUGGGCUCAAGUAAGCGCUCCAGGCUUGGUUUGAGAAGUUUCGCAGUACAAUUCUUUCCUUCAGUUUUACCCAAAUUCAGUAUGAUUCUUCUCUCUUCUUCCAUACGUCUGUGUUGGGUAUAAUCCUUUUCUUGGUUUAUGUGGAUAAUAUUAUCAUUACUGGCACUGACUGUGGCUUGAUUACUAAGCUUCAACAGAUGUUACAUACAACUUUCCAUAUGAAAGAUCUUAGACAGCUCACAUACUUCUUAGGAUUGGAAGUUCAUCAUCAGGCUAGUGGUAUUUUCGUGAACCAGCAUAAGUAUAUUCAAUAUCUUAUCACUUUGGCUGGUUUGGAGGACACUUCUUCUGUUGAUACUCCUAUGGAGGUAAAUGCUAAAUACAGGAAAGAUGAAGGGGACCUUCUGGAUGAUCCUACUCUUUAUCGGCGCCUGGUUGGAAGUCUUAUCUACUUGACCACUACUCGACCUGAUAUCUCCUAUGUUGUUCAUCAGGUCAAUCAGUUUAUGAUUUCUCAUUGACAUCUCCAUCUUGCUGCAGUUCAACGCAUCAACCGUUAUCUUUGAGGUUCACCUACUCGUGGGUUAUUCUUUCUUAUCGGCUCAUCUCUUCAACUUGUUGCCUAUAGUGAUGUUGAUUGGGUUGGGUGUCCAAAUACACGUCGAUCUACUACGAGUUGGUGUAUGUUUUUAGGUGAUGCCUUAAUUUCUUGGAUAUGUAAGAAACAAGAUCGUGUUUCUAAAUCCUUUACUGAGGCCAAGUAUUGUGCCAUGUCUACUGCUUGUUCUGAAAUUGUAUGGCUACGCGGUUUUCUUGAGGAGCUUGGGUUUCCUCAGACUACUUCUACACCUCUUCAUGCUGAUAACACUAGUGCUAUUCAGAUUGCCACCAAUCCCCUUUUUCAUGAACAUACCAAGCACAUUGAGGUUGAUUGUCAUUCUAUUCGAGACACCUUGGAAAGUCGGUUGAUAUAUCUUCCUCACAUCUCUUCUGAUCUCCAAGUGGUUGAUAUCUUCACCAAAGCUUUGACUCGACAGCGGCAUCAAUUUCUUGUUGGCAAAUUGUUGCUGGUUGACUUACCAGCAUCAAUUUGAGGGAGGAUGUUAAUGUUACCAUAUACAAUUUAGGAAUCAUAUUGGUUGUACAUAUAGGAAUGUUAAUGUUACCCUGUACAAUUUAGGAAUCAUAUUGGUUGUACAUAUAAGAAAAGAUUAACAGAUUGGCUUACCAUGUAUUUGUUGAUGUUACCGUAUACAAUUUAGGAAUUAGUUAGACUCCGUGUAUAGGAUAUAUAUAUCUUUAUAUAGAUGGAUGCAGUAAAAAUAUAAAAUUUAAAAAAAAAAAAAAAAAACGAAUCAUAGUUCUUAGUUUCUGUGGAGUUUUUUUUUUUAGUAUUUUGAUAAUCUAACCCAUGGGCCCUCAUCACGGUAUUAUUGAGUCGAAGAUGAACAUGAGGACAAACAACGUCCAUGUACCUCUCAAUGUCAGACAUCCUGAACUUGGCCAGUAAAUUGGUCACUGGUAUACUAUCAAGAUCAUCUCAAACAACUAAAAUGUCAAAUACUCUCAACUACCCGAUACGCUGCUUGAUACGAUCCAUGUGUGUGUGAGUAUCCUCAAGGAUCGUGGUGUGUACUGUUGUAGGUGGGACGACCUCAAAUUGACUGUGUAAUAGAUAAGGUGGGGCUUGUGGCACUAUCUGACUAAGUGGUGGUGACAGCAGUGAAUCAUGAGGCACCUCAUCCUAAGCUAUAGGUUGUCUACUCUGCUGACUACCCAUCUCCUGUCUAAGAUUGGUCAAGGCCUCCUAAAUGGAAGCCAUGAACGUUGUGAGUUGGUCAACUAUGACAAACUAUUGAUCCAUGUUUGAUCUCAUGGAAAUACGAACUAAUCCACCUUCUACUUUGACCCAAGAUGGUGAAUUUAGAUUGAGAACGAAGAGUUAAUCCUACAAAGCAUGAAGAACAAGAUAAGGUAUGACAUGGGGAAAACAUGGAAGAAAUGUUAAAUUGAACUAAAAGAAACAAGCCAUCAAAGUGUAGAAGGAUUAUCUGAUUGUAACUUAAACUUGUACUGCUCUCUGAGCAUUCUUAAUUGGAGACUGAAAAUGGAGUACUAGGUCCAAACUGUAACUUAAACUUGUACUGCUCUCUGAGCAUUCUUAAUUGAAGGCUUUCAGAUUGCACCCACGUGUAAGGAAGGAAAUCCUGAUCAAAUGAUCUAAGGCUCACCUUACAAGGUCAAGGUGGCUUUAGAAGGGGGAAAUGUGGACUUUAAAAAAUCCCUACCAAAAGUGAUUAUACUCUUCGAUGAUAUGCAACCCUCUACACAUCUCCGAAGAAAUGGGGCGCUUCCAUGCAAGGUGGUCAUCACCUCCACACAUGCACUAUCUUGACAUCCCAGGGGGUUUCCUAUGGUGAAAACUCUCACAACUCUUAACGCUCAAUAGUCAACUAAAGUGUACGAUGAGCGGUAUGGGUGCAUUCGACAGUCCUAUGAAGCUAAAACAGAAAAUGAAACACAUUGGUCACACAAAUAUCCAUGAAACAUAGCUCUGGGUUAUACAAGUCUUCAAAUAUCGAACUCCAAUCAACAUCAAUAUGUCAACAUCUUCCAAAAUGUUCCCAAACAUCUAUAUAGUCUGUUGCUAGACUUUACUCCUAACCACUGGCUUGCCUAGAGAAACAAGUACACACAAGGCCUCACACUUGCAAAUAUAAGAACCGAAAAGAAAUGAAUGACCAAAACUAAAGGGUUGGAGAUAAAGGGAUAGAUGUGUGACCCACAUAGACAAACAACAUGCAAUCACACAAAAGAAGAGCAGUCAUGCAACAAGCAGUCAAGUAGAGCGCAAAUAUAUCAUCCAUGUCCACACAUAAGCUAAACGAGAAUAUGACAAUCAAAAUGAAUAGUAACAAGGAUAGAUAGCAUGCUCAUAGAUGAUUAAGAUAAUAUACAAGCAAGAGAAUCAACACUAAGACAAACAAGAUAUACAACAAAAUGAACAUACAUGUUAAAGUGAGCAAGAUAAUCAUGGCAAGAGCAUAAUCAAUAUGCUAAGACAAACAAGAGAAUCAAUCAAUAUCAUCAGUCUGUCAAUGUCCCAAAUGGAUAUAGCAGUCAAGCAUAUAAAAUCACCACAUCAAACUCUCAAUGUGCUAUGAUCACUCAAGCAUAGAAAAGCACAAAGAGAAGGUAUCCAUCAACCAACUAAUCAAACGCCACAUUUGUCUCAACUCUAUGAUCCCCAGCGGAGUCACUAUUUUGUGGACCCGCAUUUUUCAUGUGCGUCCCCACUCAAUGGCGAUACUCGCUUUUUAAUUUGUGAAAAAAAAUGAUUUUUAGAAAAGACUUGGAGUCGCCACUUAUUUUUGUUUUAUUUUUUAAAAGGAAAACAAAAUAAGAAAGAAAAACUUGUGUGACUCCUUAUUUGGAAAAAACAUGUUUGCAAAAAAAAUUGAGUCUGGGUUUAGGGGUUAGGCUACUUAUUAGAAAGGUACAAUGGUGAGUCGUGACACCCCUCUAAGCCAAUAAUGAGGUCUUUACUAAUCAAGAUGAGACAAAUAUGACAAUUGAUCAGUUAAUCAUUGGAUACUAAGAAAUGAGAAUCAUGAAAAUAAAGAAUGAAUAAGUAAGAGAAAUUUGAAAGUGUACCUUAGUUGCAAGCUGAGUGCUGAAAGUUUCUUCUCCAACAAGGUAUUUUAGGUUGCAACUCACUGCUCUUUCUUCUCCUCUUGAUCAUUGGAAACCUGGAAUAUUUCUUUGCAUCCCCCCCUCUUUCACCACCUCAUUUCUCCUAUAUCAUCCAACUCACACCUCUAUUUCUUGUUUCCCCUCUAAGCCUCCACCAGCUCUACUGCUCCCCAUUUAGAGAUGUCUCCAUCCUAACUACCACCAUGCUAAGAUAGCAAUGUCUUUUGCUACGCGUCUCAUGCAGCCCACUCACUUGUAGAGGUCGUCCCCCACUAACCAACAUGUUGUCAUUUGCUAACAUCUUCUCUAAAUGCAGCAUGUGCUCCCCAAAACUCCACCAUUUGGCAAAAGAAAAUGGAAGCAAAAAAAAAGGUUCUUCCAAAUAAAGGUCUACAAUAUAAUAAUAGAAUACUUUAUAUAAAAAGUAUAAAUUAAAUUUUAUAUUUUUAAGAAUUACUUUAAAAAAAAAUUGAAAAUUGAAAAAAAAAAUAAUAUCUUAAUUUUUUAAAAUUAUUAUUUUUUUCAAUAUAAAUAUUUAAAAUUCUUAUAUUUUAUAUGAAAAUUAUUAAUAUAUUUCUAUUUAAAAAAUAAUAAAAUAGAAAGUGUAUAUAGGAUACUCAAUUUUAUGCCUAUUAAGAAAUAUUAAAGGUUGCUUAAAUCUAUAUUAAAUUAAAUUACAGUUGACUUAAUUUUACAACCAAUAAAUCAUCACAAUUUAUACUCAAAUAUAAAAAAUGGAUCACCAAAAUGCAUUAAAAAUAUACCAAAUUUAUCCUACAAAUCUAAUAACAUUUGUUAAUUAAAUUAACAGUUAUUUGAUAAAAGGGUUAUUGAAAAUUCAAAUUUGAAAAUUUAGGUCAUAUUUGAUAACUAUUUUUUAAAAUAUUUCUAAAAAAGAGUUUUUAAAAAUAAUUUUGUUUGUUUGAAAACUUAAAAUGUUUUGAACUUGUUUUUAGUAUUUUUAAAUAUAUUUUAAAAAUAAUUUUUAUGUCAAUAACUUUAUUUUUAAUUGUUAUGUAUGUUUAUAUAAUUAUUUUUUAAAAUAACUCUUAGAAAACUAGUGAAAAAAAUUAUAAAAUAUUUUCUAAAAACAUUUUAUUUUUUAUUUUUGAGAAAAAAAUAGUUUUUAAUUGUCAAAUAUGUUUUCUAGUUUUUUUAAUCUAAAAUACAAAAAACUGUUUUAAAAAAUAAUUAUCAAACAAAUUUUUUUUUUUUUACGUUAGUUUGACAAAAAUGUGAUUAUUAUUUUUUCAUAAAAAUCAUUUUUUCUUUUAAAUCAUAUUAUAAAUACUUAAAAUAGUUAAAAUAUAAAAACAUGAGUGAGAAUAAAUCGACGGAUAUGAAAAGUCAUCAUAUUUAACCAUUUAUUUCUUAAAUUAAUAGACAAAAACUAUAGGAUAAUACUAUGCGGACUUGAACUGAGGAGCUGUGGAAAAUGGCGCAAACUCAACAAGCUCUCAUUCUCCUUCCAAAAAUGGUGAAAAGUCCCCCACUCAAAGCUCUCUCACUCUUCACUUCCUCAGCUCUCCAAGGCUUCCAGCACACUCACCAAUCCAUAUCCUUUAUUCUACACCUCCUCAUCUCCUCCAACUUGUUUUCUCAUUCCCAGUCUCUUCUUCUCAAACUCAUCUCUGGUCAAAUCUCUUCUUCAUCUUUCACCCCCUCGUCGCUUUUCCAUGAGUUAACCCAACCCCACUUGGAUUCUUUUCCAACCCAUGUUCUUAUCCACGAAGCAAUCAUCAAUGCCCAUGUUCGAUCCCAAUUACCUGAACAAGCUCUCUUCUAUUUCAAUCAGAUGAUUGGUAGAGGUCUUGUACCCGGAUCAAAUACAUUUAAUAAUCUUCUGAUUCUGCUUAUAAAGUCUAAUUUUUUUGAAAAAGCUUGGCGGGUCUUUAAUGAGACCAAGGGCAAUGUUAAGUUGGAUGUCUAUAGUUUUGGAAUAAUGAUUAAGGGUUGUUGUGAGGUUGGAUAUUUGGAUAAGGGUUUUGAGGUUUUGGGUCAGAUGGAGGAGAUGGGUUUGUCCCCAAAUGUUGUUGUUUACACUACUUUGAUUGAUGGGUGUUGUAAGAAUGGUGAUAUUGAGCGGGGGAAGCAGUUGUUCUAUAAAAUGGGGGAGCUGGAUGUAGUUGCUAAUCAGUACACAUACACUGUAUUGAUCAAUGGGUUUUUCAAAAUGGGCCUUAAGAAAGAUGGGAUUGAGCUGUAUGAGAAGAUGAAGCUUACUGGGAUUGUUCCUAAUGUAUAUACUUACAAUUCCAUGAUUUGUAGAUGCUGCAAUGAUGGCAAAUUGAACAAUGCUUUUGAACUGUUUGAUGAAAUGCGUGAAAGAGGGGUAGCAUGUAACGUUGUGACGUAUAACACCUUAAUUGGUGGUCUUUGUCAAGAAAGGAGGGUUCUGGAGGCUGAAAGAUUGAUGUGUAGGAUGAAGAGGGAUGGCCUGAGUCCUAAUUUAAUUUCGUAUAACACAUUGAUUGAUGGGUAUUGCAGUAUUGGGAAUUUGGACAAGGCUUCAAGCUUAUUCAAUCAAAUGAAGUCAAGUGGUCAGUCUCCAUCUUUAGCUACUUAUAAUAUUCUAAUUGCGGGUUUUUCUGAAGCCAAAAACUCAGCCGGAGUAACUGAUAUGGUUAGAGAAAUGGAAGCAAGAGGCCUUUCCCCUUCUAAAGUCACAUAUACAAUUCUAAUGGACGCCCUUGUUCGAUCAGAUAACAUAGAGAAAGCAUUUCAGAUAUAUUCCUCUAUGGAGAAGGCUGGUUUGGUGGCAGAUAUUUACAUCUAUGGUGUGUUAAUACAUGGAUUGUGUGUGGUAGGUGAUAUGAAGGAAGCAUCAAAGCUGUUCAAGUCAUUGGACGAGAUGCAUUUGAAGCCAAAUGAUGUGAUAUAUAAUACGAUGAUUUAUGGGUAUUGCAAAGAGGGUAGCUCCUAUAGAGCCCUGAGAUUGCUUAAAGAAAUGGGUGAGAAUGGGAUGGUUCCAAAUGUUGCUAGCUAUAAUUCAACCAUACAAAUUCUUUGCAAGGAUGAGAAAUGGACAGAAGCAGAAGUUCUACUUAAAGAUAUGAUAGAGUUGGGUUUAAAGCCAUCCAUUUCUAUCUGGAAUAUGAUUUCUAAAGCCAGGUUUGAUAAUGUAUGAAGGGAGAUUUUGAAUUGCUUUCAUGUAGACUUGAAUGUAUAUAUUAGGGAAAAAAAUAAAUGGAGAAACAGAUGAGAAGAGGCUACAAUCAAAUUGCCUAAAUCUUCUGAUGUCCCUGCUUCUCUCUCAAGGGGUUGAUCAUUGCCUCAUUUUUAGGUCAGCCUCAUAACCUCCUUACAUUAUGAUAAGACUUAUUUAAUCUCUAUUUAGUUUUGACAAAAUAGUUUGUGAAAAUAUAUACAAACCUAGACUAGCUGCUUCAUCGUGGGGCGGGAUUGAACAGAAAUUUCAUCAAAUUUCACCAUUUCAUGUCCAUCUCAAAAUUUUCUGCUUCUUAACUAUAGUGGUUUUAUUAUCACCAACAGAGUUACAGUAGCAAAUUGAGCCAUUGCACUCUGUUGAAGCUCUGGAAACUCACUUCUUGCAUUGGCAUUUCUUCACUAACACCAAUUAAAUUUGGUGUGACUUAGGCAGUUUACACAGUGCUUUUUUUAGUUCUGCUUCUCUCAUAAGUUUUUUUUCUUUGCAUCAGGAUAUUUGAUUUAAUGAGUCUACAUUUUCUUUGUUUCUAUUGCAAGUCAUACUCUAACCGCCUCUCUGCAUUUAGACAUGUAUUGCAAUGUAUCUUCAAUCGAGUCUUGACCAUCUGAAAUCUAGUUGGAAUGUUUCACAUAUAGGAGGAAGUCAAUUCCACCUCUUCGCAAUGAGUUCUAUGACUUGCUUGAAACCAGCUCAUUUCCCCCUUGCAGGUGUUACUGAGCAGCUUAAUUAUGACUCCAGAAUUUGGCUCAUUGAGAAUGCAAAGAUGAUGUUUUAGCCCAUGUUCAGAGGAUGGACAGCCCAAUAUGACAUAGAAAACCUAAGAGCAGACUUGGAAAAAGGAGUGGUUCUAUAACUUCAAAUCUUAUUCAAAAUCUACCUGUUGGCAUGGAAGAAGCAGAUUGUUUUCAUGUCCUCCCAACCAUUGUCUCAAAUCUCUUGAGACUGAUGUCCAAGCCGAGGCACAGUAGAAGAGGGCAAGUGGCUUUGAAAGCAUCAUCAAAUUUGCUCAAUCCUUGCAAGUUCCUCAGGAGGAAAGGAGAUUCAUAGCUUGGGGUUUCAUCCAUCCCUUCUUAUGUCCAUUUGUGUUAUAUAGCUUAGCUGCGAAUGCAUAUAAAUUUGAUCACAUGCUAAAGAGGUGGGAUUAUUCAGAAUAGAGAAGAAAGUUACCAAGAUACCAUGAUAUGUAUUCUAAUCUAGGUUUUCCAAUGGUUGAAUUUGGAUCAAGCCCCACAUAACUGAAUAGUGUAAACUUUGAUUCAGAAAACAUUUCUUUGCAAGAGGCAAGAGCUGCAGCAACAAUUUGUUUAUGAGUCCUCAAGAACUCUCAUUUGUAAGAACAAAUUGAAAACUUGCACUAUGUUUGGUUUUUGAAAAAUAAAGAAAAAUACAAAGGAAAUAAAACAUGAAGGAAAAGUAAAAGGAAAGGAAAAAUAAAUUUAAAAUUAAUAAAUUAUUUUUCUAUUUUAUUUAUUUUAAUUCAUCUAUAUAAGGAUUAAAUAUUUUAAAAAUAUAUAAAUUUUUAACUAAUUUUAUAAUAUAUAUAUAUAUAUAUAUAUAUAUAUAUAUAAUCAUUUAUCUUAUCAUUUUUUACUAUUUUUUGAAAACCAUUAUUUUGUUUUUAUUUUUCUAAACAACAUUUCGAGAUUAUUUUUUAAUAAUUUAUUUCUUUUUAAUAAAGAAUUUUAAUGAUUUUAAAAAUAUGUAAAUAUAUUAUUUAAUAUUUAUAUGUAAAUUUAAUUAUAAUUCUUUUUAAAAAUAUUUAAAUAUAUAUCAAAUAAAAGAUUAUUUAAAUCAAAUUAUACAUCCAUAUUUUUCAAUGAAGUAAAGACACCAUGUGAGGAAAAUGUGAGAGUGAGGAUUUUUGAAAAAUGGUUCCUUUUUCUUGUCUUAAAAAAGUUUGUGGGUACGAGGAAAAAAAUGAAAAUACAAAGAAAGAUAAAUAAAUAAUUGUUUUAAAUUGAAAAUAGAAAUUUUACUAUUUAAUUAUAUAUAAAAAAAUUGUUGUUUUCAUAUCACUAACUAAUCCGGAAAAUCUUUUUAAAUCCUUCUGACUUAUGAAGUGGGGGAAGGAAGCAAAAGACAAAUUAAAUAAUUAUUUUUAGUUAAUAUUUAAAUUUGAUAUAAUAUCAUAAAACAACAAUGUUCAGGUGAUUUCUAUAAAUUUCAAUUUUUUUAUUUAUUUUAAGAUCAAAAUCCAAAUUAUCCAAAUAUCGUAUUUUUAAUUUGGAUUUUGGGUACAAAUUCUGAGUCUCACUCACCAUAAUGGCAAUCUCUGCAUUGGGUGGAAAUAGUCAUCCCACGUCGAACGGGUCGGAUCCAUCGGAACCCGGUCAAGUGCACGGAACCCUAACCAGCUCACUGACGGACCGCCUGUGUCGCUUAAUCGAGACAAACGCGGAAGCUCAAACUGUCAAAGGAAAGCGAGAAGACAACCUUAAAACAGCGUCAUAUGCGCCUCAAGCAUCGGAAGACAAUCACAAAAAUCUAGUCGAUCCGCCGGAGGAUCCCCUGUUGAAAUCCAGCUGCUUUAUCGAGACCAACGUGGUCAGAAAUGGAGAAACACUGAUCGGAGCUGAAACUGUCGAUCUCCAAACGGCGUCGCACGCGUCUCAAUCAUGCGGCGUCGGUGCGCCUGACGGCGAUUCAAAUUGGGCAGGGGAGGUGAGGCCGUCAUUGGACAAUUCUGCGUCUCAAUCGGAGUCUCAGCCGCGGCGAGGGAGGAAGAGAGCUUCGGAGGCGACAGCGAGUAUGGCUUCAGUGGAAAGGGAGGACUGGUUGCCGCCGGGUUGGAUUGUGGAGGGCAGGGUUCGAAGCUCUGGUGCUUCUGCUGGAUCGAGAGAUAAGGUUGAUAUCGUAUCUCAAAAUACUAUUCUUAUUUUGAUCUUCUGUUUGGUUGCUGAGAAAAUAUCGCCAGGAAAAGAUAGGUCUUUAUGUAUUUCCAUGAAAAAACAGAAACCUUUGGGCAUAUGCGGCUAAACCAACUAUUUGGCUUAAUUGAAGCGAAUUUCAUUUUUCAGAAACCAAAUCAACUAAAGAAAAACGAAAAGCAUGAUUUAUAAUUUAAUUUUCUUUUUAUUUUUUCUGGUUUUCCGGGCAACCAAACAGACGCAAAAUGACAACUUUACAUGGGCUUCCUGAAAUAAAAAUCAUAGCCCGUUGCUGUUUCUUGUUAGUGUAAUUCUCUCUGAAUAUAGUUAUUAUUUUUUGAGGUUCUUAAAGCAUUGUAGGAUUGUUGCGGUGUUUUCUAUCCUCUUUUGUCAAUCUAGUCUAGCAACCUGCUCCUCCUCUGCAAGAUCAAGGAAGGAUAAUGAGACUCUGGCCAACACAGUGGCCGAAGUCCGUUUCCAUGGCUCAAUAAGAAUUGGGUAUUUAGUGGAACGAAACAAACAACAGAAAUGGAAAACUUGUCAUACCUGUUUAUGGAAAAUCUGGUUUAUAUUAGAGAGGCUUCCUGGCUUUGGAAUGGGACAGCUGAACUUGCCAGCAAUGGGAUAGUAAUUGGCAUGUGGGUGCUGGCAUUAAAUGCAUUGCUAUGGUGGUUGAGGUCAUUAAUGUGCAUCUGGUCUUAGCAUGGUGCCAUUUAUUCACAUAGAGAUCAUUUAUGGUUUCGAUUGGGAUUUUCUCAGAUUUCAUUUGCUCAAUAUCCCUCUCUUAGUUUCUUCUGUUUCUGUCCCCAAUGAUACAUCACACACCACACAUGGUUUUCCUUGGACAAUAAAAGUUGCAAUUGCAUUUUGCCCUUACAAUUUCCCCUCUUGGGAAAAAUUGUCUAUAGGUAGGAUAACAAAUGUCUUACAUGUCACAUGGAUGAUCCAUGUUUGUUAGUCUAAGUGAUACACAUAGGGUUUUGAGGGAUGUUGGUAUCACAUUAAGCAACAUGUCAUUUUGUCUCCUCACAAUUGCUCAUUGUUGUAAGUUUUGGUCAUUUUCUUUUAUUUUAUACCUUCCUUCAGCCAUGACCCUUUUCUUUUUUACCUUCUCCCUUUUGUCUCCUUGUCUUUGCUUUCCUUCUAGUUUUAAAUCUCUUGCUUUCGUCCUUCAUUGCUCACUCUUUUUUUUGUUUCAUCGUAAGUAAUAGGGAUUCGUGAUCCAAUACUCUAGGGAUUUUCAAAUCCUUGAUUUUGUUACCAUCAAUGACCCUUUGGAAAGAAGCAUUGUAGAGGAGACGACUACCAAUAGUGGUGAAAUAUAUGUCCUCAUUGGACAUUUCCGUGUUGGGUCCAUUGCCCUUUUUGAUGAUAGUAUGUCAUUUCUAUUGGCGACAUUUCGCCAAAUCCAUUUGGGUUUAGAUGAGAUUAGUGAUUCUAAUAAAGGAAUUCAUAUUAGGCUUGAGAAGCUUUUGUGUUUUUACCAAAUCAAACUCCACAAGUCAAGGAACAUGUCCCCACUUGGCUACUAAGAGCUUGUUAUGAGACCCUGACUUGGAUAAGGUAUAGGAGGGUAACAAGUUCGUGCUCUUUUUUGGUUUUUUACAAUUUGGAAGGGCUUAGACCAUGUUACUUCAACUCGCAGAUUCCUUGAUAGAUAGGAAGAGAAGGAAGUUGUUUCAUUUCCAAUAUCUUUUUAUGUCACUGCAUUUUUCGGUCCUUAGCUUACCCAUUUCUUUUUCUUAUGGUUGUAGGUCCUUGUGGUCAUCAGGUAGGCUUCAUGUCUUUUAAAGCUAUCAAAUGGUAGAAACUACCCUUUGUCUUGAAACCACCCUAUGUAACUUUUUCUCAUUUGAAGUCAUUUGACUUUUGAUUUCUAACCUGUAUGAUUGUGAGGAUGUUUCAACGAGUUGUUUGCCAAAAGGCGUUUGACUCAAAGGCUACCACAUCAUUGAAGAAUGCCCUAGUGCCUCUAGUAACCUACUAGGCAUGCUUAGAGUAGGAGAGAGGAAUCUAGGUUGAAGGCAUGUGGGGACACCCAUCCAAGAUCUCCUAGCCUAUUAAGCCAUCCAUGAUCUUGCAUCAAAGUCCUCAGGAGUAAAGUUCAAAGGUUCCUCCCAAAAAAAAAAAGAAAAGGCAUUGGCAUAGACUAACAGGCAAGCCUUGAGAGUGUAGCACCAUCUUAUCAACAAGCUAGCUUGCUAAAGAACAAGAUAAAGAAGGCUUUAGCUAAUCCACCUUUGUCAGUUUGGUGGAUUCAAAAGCUGAGGACAACUACCACUCUUUGUUAGAGGUACCCCAAUGAUUGAAGCUCCCAAAUUAGCAUUUUUUUUUUGUUACGCCCCAUAACUCAUAUUGCUAUUCUUGCUUUUGAAUCACUUUAGGCCUUGGCAUGUUACAGUGACCAAAUUUGUCCUUCCAUUCUAGAUAGUUGUUUAGUGAUUGAUUAAGAAGCAAAAGAUGAUUGAUCAAGAAGAAGAAGAGGAAAAGAAAGAAAUGAUUUUAAAGAUAUCCCCUAUGACAUAUCAUUGACAUGUCUCCUCAAGGGGUCAUCUUUUUCUCUAAUCAAUAAGAGGUACCAAAGAUGCAAGAGCAUUUUUCUAAGGGUCAAGUCUUUGACUUUGCUAUGGAGGUUGAUUCAUUAUACUAUGAUCCUUUGGAUUCUUUUGGCAACUAGGAUACAACACUUUUAUUUUUGCUCAUUUUCUCUUCAACCUCAGUGAAAUGGGAUUUUGACCGCUAGUAAGUGGUGACCCAUUUGGUUUGUCAUCUACUCAUCAAGUAACCCUCUAGCAUUACCUCAAAAUCUUAAGUUCUUAUCCUUGUUUUUUCAUAUUUUGUUCAUCUCUCUUGUUAUUGAUUUUUACCUUCUAUAAAUAUGGUAUGAUGCUCUUGAGCAUCAUAGGAUGGUGCAAGUUUGACAUUUGGUUGAAGCAAGAAUAAAAGCUACUAAAGCUUAUUUGAACCACAAACAAUCAAGCCCACAAGCAAACUUAGAAGACGGUGAAUAUACCAAAGGGGAAAUUGACAAACUCUAGGCUUAAUGUUGAAGCUAAAGACCUUCUAAUGAUCUAGGAGCAAGAAUCUAAGCAUCAUCUAUCAUCCUUGGUCACAUGUGUAGAUGUUUUGAAUAAGGAGCGUUAGAGUAGCUUUAGAAAAGGUGAAGGC